UUUUUUUUUUUUGAAAGAAUAAAGUUCAAUAUGGGGGGAUCGUAACUGCUAGUCAAUUAUUUCAAAAGCACAUGAUCGGCGAUAGGAAGAGUACAUCCAUCGCAUGUGAGGACUCAGAGAUAACAAGGCUUACGAAUUUCAACCUGGCUCAAUUCAUCUGAAUGUUAAAUCUAUUGUUGGGUCGCUUGUCGCUAAGUUUAUUAUAGAUUGAGACCAGCUUAUUUAUCUGACAUAUUAUUACGGAGCAAAAAAUUUGAGCUUAUUUUAGCCAAUAACAAAUCGCCAACACAUUACCUCAAACCUAAUGUUGAGUGCUACAAAGUAGUCAGCAUUGACAGCAACCGUGGGGCUGUGGAAGGUCUUGAGGGGCUUCCCAUCCUUUCCACCUGUGGAUGCUGUGUCAUUCCCUGUUAUGGUGGGAGGGCUCUCUCCAGUGCCCAACAGGGUUAUGAAGGACAUGGCCUUUGGAAUCACUAUCUUUUCCCUAAAAUCACAACAUCACUACAUUAUUAAAUAUAUAUAUAGUCCGGCUACUAUACUAUCGAUAGUACCAAGUCCUUGGUACAUACUAUUGAGUUUUCUACCGUUAGAUCUUCCCUUCGAUUAUUUCCACCCGUUAGAUUAUACUAUUAAACCAACCAUCCACACAACCCUAGGGGAUUAUUAUCAAUUUAACCGGGGACCACUAUCAUCCUAACCGCACAUCCUUUCAUCCAACGGCCGAAAACUCAAUAGUACCAAAGGCUUAGUACUAUUGAUAGUAUAGUAGCAUAAUUCUAUAUAUAUAUAUAUAUAUAUAUAUAUAUAUAUAUAUAUAUNGGAGCUUUCAAAUCGACGAUCGGCACUAUUGAACAUAAUCUAUAUCACUUGAAGUAUUUAGAAAUCAAAUUUCAAAUCUUUUCGAUAUCAUUUACUUAAUGAUUAAAGGGUUUCAAAAUUAGUAAUUUUAAUUGUUAAUAUGAGGGGUUUUCUCGUUUAACGGUGUAAAGCUAUCCAAAUCAAUUGAAUUUUGGUUAGAAAAUUUUUUAAACUAUUUAGAACAAGAUCUAUACUCUCGAUCAUGAUUACAAAAUUUCUAUCAUUAUUUUUUAGAGGAUAUUCAUUUUCAGCCAUUCAUUUUUACGCCCACUUGAUGGACAAGAAAAUAAUAUCGAAAAAGUAUGAAAUUUAAUUUCUAGAUACUUCAAGUGGUAUAGAUCAUGUUCAACGGUGCCGAUCGUCGAUUUGAAAACUCCAUCAUCAAAAACAAAUGGGUGGCAACGCAGCCCGUUUGCUACCGAUAGUAUUCCAACUCAACUCUACAUAUAUAUAGUUCUUUACUCAAGAAGUAGAAGUUAACAAACAGAAAAUCUAGAACUAAUUAAAUAGCUAGCAUCGACAAAAUAAUAGUUCUAAUUUAAAAUUUUUGUUCUGAUCAAUCAGCGCGCUGUUAUUAACAAAGAAAUGCAGCAAAAAAAAAAAAAAGUGACAAAUGUAGAACCAAAGAAGAAAAUUCUUUUAUUUCCUUUUUUCUAAGUAAUAAGAUAGUUACAUAUUGAUCAACAUUAAUUAUCAUCUCUCAUAGUCCAAAAAAAAAAAAAAAAAAAAAAAAACACUAAAGUUGUACUAUAGAAACAUGCUUUUAUAAGCCAAUUUUACUGAAUAUAAAUUAUAUAGAUGCUCUUAUUUGAUAGUAUAAGUUUUGAGAAAAAAUAGUUAUUUUUUUUUUUUUUUUUUUUUUUUUUUUUAUUUCAUAUAUAUUAAUAACGGUAUCAGAAAAAAAUUCUGUGUCCGAGUCCACCAAAUUUUAAACGUUAUUUAAUAAUUUUUUCAUUAAAAAAAAAUAUAAAAUAUGUAAACAUCAUUCUCCCAUAACUAAGUCUAUCGAAAGAACAGCUGUUUCCAUAUAAUUAACAAAUAAUAUAUAUAUAUUAUAUAUAAUAUAUAUAUAUAUAUAAAAGAUGAUUGAGCUAGGUAUCAACAAUAUAUAUAUAUUACGCUAUAAAUUCCUGGUUUGAUCACAAAUAUGACUCUCCUAGUGUUGUCAAUGGGUAUCAUCUAUGGCUCCCCUUAAGCUCCUAAUAAAUCUCCACUUCCAUCUGGCACACAGUGGAUCCACCACCGCCGGCUGCGGCCUCGCCAGCUUGCGUCGAGGGCCUCCGACCGCUGCCCUCCCGCCGCCGCCGUUCGGUGAGUAGUAGGUUCAGGUGGAGUGCAAGUAGUAAGUCCUUUUGUAAUUUUGAACAUUCCAAGAUACCACCUCUUGAAACCAUUUGUGCUUGGUUAAGAGGAGGAGUAGCACUAGAGAAGGAUGUGCAAGGUGAGAGAGAGAAUGUGAGAGAGGAAGAGAGAGAAAGGUUGGACCUUUGAUGACAUGAAGAUGAUCAUGGAAGAGAGAGAGAGAGAGAGAGAGAGAGAGGUUGCAAAAGUUUCAAGUUGUUGUGGAGCCAUAUACAUGGUGGGGAGGGUUUAAAUAUUGCAUGAGAUUGGAGACAUAAGAUAAGGAAAAGGAAAAAGGGACUUUUGCUUAUUUAUUUCUGAAUAAUGUUCAAAAAUUUUCAAUAUUUUUCUAAAUUUUAAAUCCAAUUAGUAAAUCCUAGCUAGGGGUUUGGGGAUAUUUAAAGAAAUUCUGAAAAUCAAUAAAGGUAUUUUGAUCGACCAGAAGAAAAUUAAAUACUUUUAAAGAUUUGAAGGGUAUAAUAUUGGAUAUUAUUUCUUGAAAAAUAAUUAGUUUUUCUAAAAAUCUAAGUUAUUAUAAAUAUAUAUAUAUAUAUAUAUAUAUAUAUAUAUAUUUUUCAUGUCUGGCUCAAAUCUUGACUUUUUAUUUUAAUUUCAUAAUAAAUUAUAUGGAACAAUAAUCUUACUCCUAAAACUUAAGCUCUCAGCGAACAGAAUAUAUUAUAUUUUGUAUUCAAUGCUUUUAUUAAAGAGAAAUCAUUUUUUAAAAAAACUUUCUUAAACUCGAAUUUAACUGAAUUACUAAAGAAAUCGAAUCACAUAGUUCAACAUGAGUCAAUUCAGUUUCAUAAUUCAAUGUGGACAAAAAUAUGAUAAUCCAAUUUGAACCAAAAAAAUAAUUACAUCAGCAUGACAUUAAUAUUGGUGGUAUUUUUUUCCAAAAAAAAUAAUUUCCUUGCUACUUCAUCAAAAGGCAAAAUGGUAGGAGCAACAUGACAACUGGUUCCCAUUUUUAAUCUUUUCCAAUACAAUGAUACAUACAAUAGUGGAGGAUCACAUACAAUAUAAUAUAUAUAUUGCACUGUUCUUAGUUAUUUCUCACCACUCUUGUGUAAUUUAUGGGCCUCAGAAGUGGAGCAACAACUUAUGCUUGUCCUUGUCCCUUUAUCUAUUUAAUUUAACUUCUUGAGUUAAGAGUUUUUGUGUGGUGUGAUUUUUCAUAGAGUGUGGGUGUGCUUAUAUAUUUACAUAUGGGUGUCAAAAACUGAUUAAGAUCACAUGCACAUAUAAUUUUCUUCAAGUGUAAAUAUAUAUGUGAAACAAUUAUUUGUUUCAGACAUUUAAUGAGUACAGUCUCUAAUAUAAGAUCGCUAGCUUUAUCAGUCAUUCAACACACGAUCAGUACGAAUCGCAAAGUGAUACGGUAGUUAAUGGAGCACUCUCAAGCACUUCAAGAUUGUUCCCAUAAAAUUUUUAUUCGUUUGUACCCGUUCAAAUCUCGUAAAUCAGUAAAAGCUCUAUCAAAUUAAUUUUUAGAUAGAUUAUAUCGUCUCAGACUCAAUUCUAAGUCUUUUGAUUUUCUGCUGAGGCCUUGUAGUUGAGAUUAGCGGUGGGUUAACUUCAAUGUUAGGACUAUUUUUAACCGUUUUUCAUUAAAUCAAACUUUUGUAUAACACAAAAAACAGUUCAUCAGAGCAUCAUAUUGACCUAUAAGCAUGGCUUUUCUUUUUUCUUUUUUAUUUUUUUGCAUUACUCUGCUAGUGGUGGCCACUGAAAUUGUCAUUGAUGUCAAAGGCUGCUGCAAGCUACCACUAUGCAUGCAGGAAGUGCUUUUUCUCCAGCAAUUGAUAAGUUGCAACCAAAUUGUUAAUUUAAGGUUUUAUUGAUUUAACCAGUGAUUAGAUAAUUAAUUAAAUCAGGACUAUUUUUAAAAUAAAAAUUUGUCAGGGACUAAAUUGAAAAAAAGCCCCAUCCUCACACUCUCUCACACACUCUCUCUCUCUCUCUCUCUCUCUCUCUCCCCUCCUAAAUCCAUAUUCCAUCAUCAUCAUCAUCUUUUCCUUCUUCUUCUUCUUCUCCACCCACACGCAUACACACCUCCUCCCAAUUCCCAAUUUGGAGCUCCCUCCUCCCUUCCAUGGCCGCCGCCGCCGCCGCCGUUGUCGCCGCCGGCCGUCCUCCGCCGCCGCCGCCUCGGAGGAGCUCCGCCGCCGCUCGCGCUGGAGCCUCGCACUCUCUCUCCUCUCCUCUCUUUCUAGGUCUCUCUCUCUCUCUCUCUCUCUCUCUCUCUCUCUCUUACCAUCUUUUUUUUUGUCCUACUUUUUUUACGCGUAAAAAUGCGAUUUUUACCCUUUUUUUUCUUUGCUUGCAUAUGUGAGAUAUGCGAGAUUAUUAUUACGUGGACACAUCCUAAAUUUUUCUUUGCUUGCAUGCGAAUUCCGGUUCGAGAAUUGAAAUUUCUGUUUAUCUCUGCAAAUUAAUGAGACUUCUUUUUUUUUUCCCCCUACAUUUGCUUGAAUUGUGAUUGUUGUUUGUGAGAAAAAUGCAAUUUUGAAAGGGGUUUUGGCGAAUUGGUAAGUUGCUAUUGUUGUUGACUUGAUUAUACAAAAAGGGCUGAUUUUUAUGGAUAAAAAUACAAUUUUUUUUCCUGCUCUUCUUCGUUUCAUACAUAAGAAAUGAUUCACAAUUUUAAUAGUUUAGAAGUGUUUUAGUAAUUUGGAGUUUGUUUUUCGUUGUUGUUGUUGAGUUUUUUCUUUUUCUUUUUAUUGUGAAUUGAUAGGAAUUGGGUGUUGAGAGUAAUUUAAAAUGUUGCUAAAUCUACACUAAUUUGUCGAAAUGUAGUAAAUUUUGCAUGGGUGUGUUUAUGGAUUGUUUGUUAAUUUUGUUACAAAAGUGAAAUUAUCGAAUUGAGUAUAGAGACUGAAGCGAAAUCGAACCAAAAUAAUUAGAUUAAAUUUAUUUAUUUUUUUCGGAUUUGGAUACGACAAAUUUGGAUAAGAACUACAAAACAUUUUCUCAUGGCUCCAUUGUAGAAGUGGACUAAAGUUUUUUCGCAGUUCCCAGGAGGAAUGUGAUAGCUUCAAUGCUAUCGAGUCUCGUUUUCGCGCCCAUCGCACGCCACGAAAUCGCAAUCGCCGACGCCUCCUCGUUCGGAUUCAGAGAGUACAUCGACAACUUCGACGGCUACACCUUCUUGUACCCGAAGAGCUGGAUCCAAGUCCGCGGUGCCGGCGCCGAUAUCUUCUUCAGGGACCCUUAUGUUCUCGACGAGAACUUGUCGGUGGACAUAUCGUCUCCCUCGUCUUCCAACUAUAGAAGCGUCGAAGAUCUCGGGACCCCGGAAGCUGCCGCGGAGAAGGUUUUAAAGCAGUACCUGACUGAGUUCAUGUCGACGAGAUUGGGCGUUCGGCGCGAGUCCAACAUCUUGUCUACGUCGUCGAGAGUUGCGGAUGAUGGAAAGGUUUACUAUCAAGUUGAGGUAUAACUUCAUAAGCAUUGCAAGCUUAAGUUUAAGCUAUUUUGGAUCAGUUCAGGGAUUAGAUAAUGUCCCCCGCCUUUUUACGUAUUUGCAGGUGAACAUAAAGUCGUAUGCGAGCAAUAACGAAUUGGCCGUUAUGCCGCAAGAUAGGGUGCAGCGGCUCGAAUGGAACAGGCGAUACUUGUCGGUUCUCGGCGUCGAGAACAAGCGGCUGUACGAGUUAAGAUUACAAUCCCCUGAAGAUGUGUUCCGCGAGGAGGAGAAGGACUUGCGCGAAGUCAUGGACUCGUUUCGGGUUGUGAAGGCGAUCGAUUGAGAGCAACAACACUCUUGUGAUUUAGAAUAGGAAAAAGAAAAAGGACAAACGAAAAUAGUGCGCGGCGUAAUAGAGGAGGUUAGAUUGUUUUCAAUCUGCAGUUGUUGAUGAGUUUGAUCUCCUUUUGUGCAGCUCAAAAGAUACUUAUUUCCAGUUCUAAUCACCACUUAUGAUCUGAAAUUGUCUGGUCGUUAUUAAUCAUACCACUACCACUAGGAUGUAUCCCGACACUGAUGAGCAGUAGAAUCAAUUCAGAAUCAUUGUUUAUCGUUUUGUUUUCUUUUUACUAAAUCUUAUUAUUUCAACAAUAUACAUGACUAGAAUAUAUUCCGUCGCUAAUCAGUAGUGGAAUCAACCUGUGUUUAGAUUUUCUACGCACAUGGCGAUUCCAAUCCCAUAUACAUAGGAUCAAAAGAAUCAACAACAAUAUCAAUGAAAAAAAACCCACAAUUUUCACUGCAAUCAUAAACUUCGCCUGAGUUACUCUUAAUUAUGGAACAUUACAUUGCAAAUGAUCACACAUACAUUCACCGUUGCAUGUCGAAACAUUAUGUAUUACAUGGUGAUCAAUUUUUGUAAACCAAACAGCCAAACAAAUUGCCACAAAUUUAUCGUAACUAUGCCCAGAAAAUAAAACUGAUCACACAAGGUGAUAAAUAGCAAAAAUAAAGCCCUAAGCCACUAUUCUUACUCAUCUGCUACUGCAGUUAAUAACCUUAAACGUCCAAGAUUCAAAUGGGUACAAAGUUAUGGUGUAAAAAAUAAAAUGAUUGGUUUUCAGAUUAGUGCAAAGAAGUGGAAAGCAAGCGCAAAACCUGAUACAACAUCUCAAUCAAAAGAACUCAAAGAUCUAAGCAGUCUCGAGUGGCAGAUAUUUGGGCAGUUUACAGGCAUCUGAUAAAUAGAGUUCGAAAAAACUCGAAAAGCAUUGAACCCAUAUUCAAACAAUUGCCAUGGUUGGUUAAACGGAAGGAGGAACAAGGUCACAUUCUAUCCUCCCUCUUCCUCGGAGCGCAAGUAAUGAUCUCAUCAACCCUCAGUAUCAUCUCAGCCGCCUCGGUCGCCGAUAAAAGUACAGCUUGUUUAACUUUGAAGGACUCCGAGAUUCCGAGCUUUUCCAUGUCGCCAACCUGCACCAGCAUUGCAAUGUUAUUGUUUUAUGAUUAGCAAAAUUUUCAUCAUAACAAAACGUAAUCACAAUCCAUCCUGGAAUUUCCAUGCAAUCGCUUUUAGCUCAACAAAAUUGAGUGUUAGGCCCCCAAAGUCCAUAAAUUAUGCAUUCUGACAUUUACCAAAGUUUCCCACCUUAGGGAGCUAACUUCUGUUUGUGCAUAUGAGGGAUAAGUGGAAAAAAUGAAAAAAGAUAAGAGGCAAACAAGAUGCAUAAAAUUUAGCGGUUUCAUCAUUUCAUAAGUUAAUUUAUCGUAUGUCACUCACGCGCAAAAACAGCACAAAAACAGCUGUCACGUUGUAGGAAGAAUACAGCAAGGAACAGAUUGCACGACUUACAGACUUCAGGGACCUAAUUGCAGAAGCCUAAGUGAAAGGAGUUUAAUGCUAUCACGUAAAAGGUUAAAAGGACUAAUGAAUUACUACAACUUAAAAACAGCUAGAGGACAACAUCUCUAUCACUUACCCCGCCAGAGAUGACAUCAAUUCCAGAAGUGCUCCUCUCCUUAUGAUGCUCGGCACGGAGCUGAGAGAUAAGGUCGGCGCUAUCAAGUCCGGCAUUGUCAGCUAUGAUGGUUGGGAUGGCUUGGAGAGCCCGGGAGAAGGCCUCGAUAGCAUGAGAUUUCUUUCCGGGGGUCCUGCGUGCUAGUUCGUCAACCUCCUUUGCCAUCACCAUCUCAGGCCAUCCGCCACCGAGUAAGACCCGGCUGUCGUUCACGGUCUGAGUCAGCACACACAGGGCAUCGUGCAAGGAUCUUUCAGCUUCAUCGAGCACAUGUUGGCUGCAGAUGAUAUCAAAAAAAAAAAAAAAGAAAAAUAAAAUAAGAACGGUUGAACAGAAUCAGCUGAGAAAAAAAACAAAAAGAAAACUCAAACUUCACUAUUAGAUUAUUGUAUAUUUUCCCCUUCCUUUACAUAACGACAUAUUCAAUAGAUGUUUCAUGUGAUCAAGGCUAGCAAAAUAGGAAUUUAUUUGCCUGAAGUUUGCAACGGGCACAACAAUUGAUGCAGUUAAGCAAGGCCAAUAUCUGUGGGUAAGCUUCACGAUUUACCCAAUAGCACAAUAAAGAGGUUAACCAUCUUUCAACACCUCUCCCCUCAGUGCUGCAGCUAAUAGACGGAGCAAACGAGAGAGAGAAAGAGAGGAACAAAUCUAGAGGAAAUCAUGGUAUAUCCAAGAUCUCUUACCCAUAUCCGAAGUUUGUAGUCCACAUAAGUCUACUUACAUAGGUUGGAGUGUUUGGGGUUUGGACUGCUAACAGAUAUUUGAAGAAUAGCCUUCGUAAAAACAAACUUAAACUUCCUACUCCAUAGUUCAGAUGCGAAUGAAGUAGGUAUAAUUGAAUAAAUCGCAACCAGGAUCACAUGAUUAGUCAGUUCGACAGACAUAACAAGUGCAAUCCUAAGAAGAUAAAAAAUAUAACAAGACAAAAUGACGAUGCCAACAAAUAUGCUAGCUCAAUUAUCUUAGAAAUAAUUAAGCACGGAAUUAAAUGACAGUCUAAUGGACAUACCUUGCACCUCUUAAAACAAUGGUACAAGCUUGACCCAUUUCGCACCCAGAGAAAUGAAUCAACCUAUCUUCACCAAUCAUUAUCUCUUCAAUAAGCUUGCAAUGCCCAAGCUUAACAGACUCUGGAUUAUCAAAAGUCGAUGCAAUCUCACCGCCUGUAACGAGCGCCAACCGCUCAAUCCCAUCAAAAUCAGCAUGCUCGAUAGCAAGUAUGCCAGCAUCAGCAAAUAGUUCCUCUGGAAAGUUAUAUAUCAAUUGACGGUUAACGAAACAGUUGAUUCCAUGGGCUAUUAUUUUUUGCACUUUCUCUCUCAUCUUCUGCUUCUCCGCAGCUUCGAUCUCUGCAACCUUAGUCAUCGAAUCAACACGAACGCGGGCCCCAUAGAUCUUUACUUUGUCAGUGUCCAUAGCAGUGUUAGCAACCAAAAUCUUGGCGUUCUCAAUGCGCUUUGGUUGCCCAAUACCUAUUUUCUUGUCAAGAAUAAACCUUCACAAAAAGACAACGGGUAAUGCUAUUAUUGAGCUUUUUUGUGCAAUAUCAAUCUUCCAAUUUGAAUGCAAGUUUGCUUAUGUAAACCUCAUUUAGCUUCAGAACGCCUAGUUAUUUGUUUUUUGGGCAUAGAACAAGCAUGGGGCAACAGACAUAUUGAACUUUGUAUGCUUUUUCAUACUUUACGCAACUAUAGGGAAAAAAAAAAAAAAGUAGAUCCAUUUUCACAUAUAUUAGAUGAAGAAAAAUGGAUUAUCAUAUGGAUAUCAUAUAUAAUAAAUUACACUAACAUCCCCAAUUCGCCGUUAGUGCCUAAGGCUAACUGAUGAUGGUAAUGCAAAGCUACUUGACCACACAUGUUAAUAUAUUUGACUGUGAAAUCAUACCCUUCAUCCAAAAAAGAGUCCUUCAGAGAUCCUCCAGGUUUCUUUAGAAUUUGGAUGGCCUCCAAAUUAGUGCUCCCCUGAUACCAGCAAGAAAAACAUGAAUAGAUAUUAAAAAGAAUAAAUGAAACUUGCUAAAAGGAAAUCAUGGCUGGUGGAUCAAAUUAGCAAUUACCAAUAUCAAAGGAAAGAAGGCACAAAAUUUUAUGUUUAGGUGCAAUUGAUCGCAGAUAAAUCUAUACAGUAUCUAAUUAGUAAAAGUAAAUAACCAUUUUUCACUACAUACAAGUCACAUGUCAAUUUAUAUUCCUACUUAUCUAAUCGAAAGUUGCGGUCUUGUGAGUACAGAACAGACACUUUGUCUAGGAAAAAACAGCAUACAAUAAUGAGCAACUUGAAAAACAAAUGUUAGUUCAAUUAAUGACAGCUCAUAUAUCGUUAAUAACCAAUCCAUGUAAACAUCAGUACAUAUGUAUUUUACAUACACGUACACAAAUUACACAUAUGUACUUACAUACUAGAUAUGAAGUGUAGUACCUUAAGCCUCAAAACAGCAUCAACAGCAAGUUUAGCAAAGUACUCCUUGUCCUGGGAAAGUAUUUUCGAACUCAAAGUUGUCAUAGCAAUGUUCAACAGAUCGGAUUUAAACUUCUCUGAAAUCAAAGUAGGAUAUUCAAAAAGACAUAAAAGAUUUAAGUUAUAGGUUAUAAACUACUAAAAACAGAGGAAAGUCAGCGACUGUAAGCCAAGCUAGUUGUCGCACCACAUAAUCAUAAAAAACUAAUCGAUAUAAUAGGAUAUAAAAGAACAUCAUAUUAUUCAUGCAUCACAAAAUUGUUGAUACCUGGGUCUUGUUUGUUGUCCAUGGCCUUCUCUAACAAAGCAUUGCGUGCACAUUCAGCAGCCAUUCUGUAACCUGUAAGAUUAAUCCAUUGAGCACCCAUAAAUUAUUCAGUAGAAUUACGCUAACUAUCUCACUGAUAAAAGUAAAAACAACUCAACAAUAAGAAGGCAGUAAGGGGCGCCAUAUUUAAUAAUCAGUUCAAAUUAUUUGAAGGCAAAGAUAUAGCCAACUUUCUCGACAAAGGAAAGAGGGUUGAAAGAGAACAAUACAAGAAUAAAACCCAGUUCAUUUAGCAUGCCGUACACAUUCUAAGUAGCAGGAUGAGAUUAAAACAUGAACCUAGUGCAAGUAACCUAGUUACAUAUUUUCAUCUAAUCACUACAAGCUCCUUAUGACUUUCAUUAGGCUAAGCUCUAUUGAUAAUUUUUUACACUGUGUAUCCUUAAAUUUAAAAAUAAAAUAAUAAAAAAAAACAAUCCGAAAUGUUUACUACAGGUCUAUGUACAAGUACAUAAUACUACCAUUGUACCCAUCUUACAACACACACAGCAUCCAAGCUAGACAUUUUAACACUUCACAACAGCUCAAGGAACUGCUACAAAAAUGUUCUUGGAAAGCAUGAGACAAACCUGCAAUAAUAGUCAUAGGAUGAAUCUUUGAGUUGACCAAUUUUUCAGCUUCCCUCAGUAGCUCUCCAGCCAAAACAACAACUGAAGUUGUUCCAUCACCAACUUCAUCAUCUUGAACUUUCGAUAUAUCUGAUACUCAAACUAAGGACUAACCUUUCUCUUUGUAUAACAAUUACAUGAAUAGGACAAUUAGUUUCUUGUGUAUAGCAAAAAAAAAUUAUUUUUAUUUUCUACUAAAACGAAUGAAUCAGUGUGAACAAAGAUUUAAUAAUAAAUAGCUUGCAAAUCGAAGAUUACAUAUUGGAAGAAAAUCAAAGGAUACCAACAAGGACCUUCGCAGCUGGGUUGUCAAUAUGAAGUGCCUUCAAUAUAGUUGCACCAUCAUUAGUAACAGUGACAUUACGCCCUCUGCCAGUUGACUGCAGGAUCUUGUCCUAAACAUCAAGUGUGUGUAUGCAAGUCAUAUUAGCUAAGCCAAUUAAGCAACAGUCAGACGUGGACAUGAGGAAGAGCAAUAAAAACUUGAGAAUCAAGAUAAUACCAUUCCCUUCGGUCCUAAGGUGGUCUUAACUAAAUCAGCAAUUGCCAUUGCACCGAUAAAAGAUGCCUGCACCAGGAAGAAAGUGGCAAAAGCAACUGUAAGUACAAAUUUUGGCUUAGGAAUAACUGGAAAAAGAAAGUAAAAUCUUACAAAAAUCAGGAAUCCAGAAAUUAGCUCAAGAUAAUAUCUUCCAGGAAAUAUAUUUACUGAUUUGGAAAAAAUAGCAUAUCAGGCAUACUAUUUGAGCUUGGGGAAAUUGCAUAGCACACUAAUAUCUUGGUCUUGGAACACAACACAAUCUUGGAAACAACCAGUUCAUGCAAAAGUGAUUGAAUGUUAGAACUAACUCAAAAUACUUCCACUCAGACCCCAUCCUGGUGUGACCUUAACUGAGCAGCGUUUUUUGUUACUUGAGCUCAUUUUCUCGAGGAUGGAUUUUGAAAGAUACUAAAGAAAGACAGUUAAUCCCUUCUGAGAAGCUCAAAUGAAAAUGGACUGUAGACCAGAUAUAAUGUGCAAGCAAUAUCUGUGAUUUUCUUUUAAUUUGUGCUUCACUAGCGCAUUGACUCUCAGAAGUUGUCAGACAAAAAGAAUACUGCAAAUUAGAAUGGUGCCGUGACUGCUGUCUGAGAAUGUUCAGUCUCAUGGAAGAACCAAUGUAACAGCAAUAUCUGUACUAAAACAAUCAUUUGUUUUCCUAUUCCAUCAAAACCAUCAGUUAAAAGGGACUACAGUAUGGCAUAAUCUCGAGUUAAGGGAAACCUAUUAAGAGGUGGAACCGCUAGGCCUAGUAUACAGUAUGAAAGUUAGUAAAUGCUUGGCCAAGUAGUAAUAAGAACAGGAUAAUGAGGAAUGCAUCUGUAUCUCAUGACCAAUGUGAAAUCUUUUUUCCUCCGUACUAUUGCUUCCAGCAUAAAUCCAUCGAUAGACAAGCUUGAGUAGCUAAAGUUCCAAGAUGAUAGGCAUAAGUAAAUGGUGCACCAGGUAUCAAAACUUCUAAAACUUUACAGUCAACAAUGACAAGAUUGAAGGUCAUAGUUAUAAAGAUAAACCUACUCUGAUAUCAUUUACUAAUCCAUCUUACACAGUUCGUUAUUCAUUCUGAAUUAAAACAAAUCUAGCAUCCAUUUUCUCUUCCCAUCGUACUUAAGGGUGUUUUUCUCUUGCGCCAGGUAAAGCUACACUCCCCCAAAGGGUUAUUCACAAGCUAAACAAAGCAAAUACGACUUCCCCUUUCUAUAUAUUUGACAAAAUGUAUACCCAUCUAGCGAAUCAUCCCAAAUUUUUUUUCCACAAAAUAUAGUUCAAAUAUGUUCAUGGAAUAAAAACUAAGUAUUGGAGGGGCAAAAAGAGACUUUUUCAGCAUUCUAAAUAGUAAAGUAAUGAUCUUUUAGCUUCAUCAAUUAAUUCCACUCAAAAAUACCGCCUAAUACUUAAAAAAAAAAAUCGCUUUGAUGUUCUAUAACUAAUAGCAAUUAAUACACGCUAUUAGAAACUACAACUGAAACUGAAACUACUAUAAAGCGAGUUGAAUCGAUACCAUCCGAGCUCGAUCUCCCUUCUCUUCCGUGGCUUCAUCUUUCAACAACCGCUCCACCUACACAGCGAUUCCUCACGGAUCAAACAAAUCGCACACCGAAAUUUACACUAAGUAGAGGAAACGAGAUAGAACGUACCGCCAUUGGAGACAAUCGGAAGAGCUUCGAAACCCUAGGGGGAGUUCGAGAUCUCGAGAGAGGGGGUGGGAUCUAAAACCCUAGAAUUCGAAAGAGGAGAUUUUGGUGAGGGCGAGGAUUCGAAGGGCUCGGAGGAGGCGCUCGAAGCAACACGGACCCACGAGCGAGCCUUCGCGAGGGAACUAUAUAGUGUAAAAUUUACGGAUGGUCCCUAUACUAUGCUUAUAUUGCGGUUUACUUUUUAAGAUUUUACAUUCUAGUCCCUAAUAGACAAAACAAUCUAAUGUUUUCAUAUAGAUGCCAUUUUUAAAUUUAUUUUUUCCAAAGGUUUUAAUGGUUAUAUUUUAAGAAAAGCUUCCACGAAAAAGCUUAAAGACUAUAGUUUUUAAAUUACAAAUAUUUAAAAAAUAAAAAUAGUAUAAAAAUUAUCCAUAUAUUUAACUUUUAAUUUAUUUCAAUUAUGCUAAGUAAGAAUUGUCGUGUCCGGACAUGCUUAUCAGCAUGGGCAGUUCAUGCCUACCGUUUCAGACUAUAUAGACUAGUUUGAUAUAUUUUAAUGUUAAAUCAAACUGACAUAAUAAGAUAAUACAAGUCUGAUUUAAAUUACAGCGAACUUAUCAAUCAGCGAAUAUUGCUUGAUCCAAACCGGCUCCAGUGUUUAAAUAAGUUGAACCAAUACCGCCCGUCUUUUAGCUCACCAUCUAUCAAUUAAACACAUUGCCUCUGAAAUCACUAUACUAAAACAAAAGAAAGAAAUAUUACGGGCUUUUUUCAAAUUUAGCCCCCCUCAAAAAAAUUUAGAAAUUAUCCUAACAAAUUUAUAUUUGCGCAUAUGGCCCUCUUCUUACCACAUAAGCGUUAUGUUUAUAUUUUUAAGUAGAAUACGAUGAAUAAAUCACUGUGUUUAAAUACAGCGAUUGAAUCUCUGUGUUUAUAUCCACACCUUAGUCCCUCCUCUUUAACUUAGUAAUGAAAAAAAUACAAAAAGAAACACGGUGAUUCAAUUAUCAUGUUUAAACACUGUGAUUGAAUCACUUUGUUCAACUUUAAAAUGCUAUUUAGGCGCUUGCGUGGCAAGAAGAGGACUAUUUUAUACAAAUAUAAAUUUAUUAGGGUCAUUUAUAAUUUUUUUGUUUUUGAAGGGGCUAAAUGCAAAAAAAAACCCAAAAAGUAAUGAUGGGAGUGCACAUGUCAUCCUCCUCUGUUCCAAAUUUUGAUUGAAUUAAAGUCGGCGCCGAGUCACUCUCCACGCAUACUCCAUAAGAAGCCAUCGCCGACUUUAGGUUUGUUCCAAUAAACCUACUCUAUUUCUCGCUCUUCCUACUCGUCGUCUUCUUCCCCCAACCCCUCCGUAGUAAAGCGAUCGUGAGAGAGAGAGAAAGAGAGAGAGAGAGAGAGAGAAGGUGCGGAUGAACACGGCGGAUGUGGCGGCGGAGGUGAAGUGCCUCCGCAAGCUCAUCGGGAUGCGGUGCGCCAACGUAUACGACAUCUCCCCUAAGGUAGAACCCAUCACCGAUCCCCCUACACCCAAUCCCCAAAACCACCCUGUAGACCAUGCACUCAUUUCCCCAUUUCGCCCAUAACCAUUUGGGGUCUCCCCCAUUUGCGCACGUAUCUUCCCGUGUUCGAUCCAUAGGACCUGCCGUGUAGAUUCCCCAAUUCGUUUCUUUCGAGUGUUCUACGUUUAAACUAGCUUUUAUGAUGCAAAGUUUCAUAAUUGGACAUUUCUAUUUCCUAUGAUCUCAAUUUUCUGUUGUUAUUGUGUAGAUAGAGUAGAAAAGGGGAGUUUUGGGGGUUAAAGUCGUGUGCUUUGAGUCAUUAGUAGGAAACUUUAAUCAUAUUAGGUAUUUGAUGAUGGUAGGUGUAGGUACUUAAGCUUGAAUUCUAACCCUAGUGCUAGGAGGAACUUUUGGGUUCUUCGCUUAAGCAUUUGCGAAGUGAUCGAUUAUACGGAAGUAUAAGUGCUUGGUUUGUGCACAAAAAAUAAAUGAAAAUUUUGAGACCCCUUCAAUCUUGUUGUAACCUUUUCUAAAUAGCUGCUCCAUGUAAGUUCGUUUGUAUUUCAUGGAAGCAAAUGUUUUUAUUGAUGCUUAUCUUCAGCUUGAAGAAAGAUACACACUUCCCCUUGUAAGCUAGUUUUGCGAAAAUAAGCGGGAGUUUCCUUUCUAGCAGUGUGGAGGAAGAGUAGAUCACUACAAUUAGUAUUAACAUGUUUGUUUUUGACCUACUAUUUCAUCGAAGUAGGCGUCCUGGUUAUGCUACAGCAGCAAAUGAUUUUAUUUUAGUAAGGCUUCGCAUAAUAUUCCUUUCUCGAUGCAAGUCUCCGGCUUCUUCAAUGUUUAUGGGGAUUAACCUCAUAGUCGUUUCUAAUUAUUCUUUAUUUUGUAGACUUAUCUAUUCAAGCUGAUGAAUAGCAGUGGAAUCACCCAAUCAGGGGAGAGUGAAAAGGUAUUUUUGUUGAUGGAAAGCGGAGUCAGGUUGCAUACAACUCAGUAUAUGCGGUAAAACAAUGACCUUGUAUCUGUUUUUUUUUAAAAAAAAAAAUAUGUAAGCUUUGAGUCGUUAUUUACUGGAAUGCUCUGUCUAUUUGCAGAGACAAAAAUACAACUCCUUCCGGCUUUACUCUUAAAUUGCGGAAACAUAUACGGACAAAAAGACUUGAAGACAUCCGGCAACUGGGAUAUGAUCGUGUAAGAAUUAAAUCCUCAUGAAUUUACCUUCUCUUUGCUUAAAAUACAGCAUUCUAUGCCGUUUUGUUUUUUUUGUUUCUUAUAUGAUCUUUAUAUUGCUGCCUUUAUUUUUGUAUUUGCAGAUUAUUCUUUUCCAAUUUGGAUUGGGUAGUAAUGCUCAUUAUAUAAUUCUUGAACUAUAUGCCCAAGGAAAUAUUCUUCUCACGGAUUCUGAGUUUACUGUAAUGACGCUACUCCGCUCUCACAGGUUGUUAUCAAAUCCACAAUCACCAAGUUCAGAGGAGUUUUAUGGGUGAUUUGAUAGUAUGAUUACACUAGAUAUCGUAAUCAUCUUGUAACUUAGGUCCACCUUAAUUUUCUGAAUUUUAUUUUUUUGUGGUUAUUCUGAAUCUUUUAUCUCUAUAGACCAGCAAACCAGGUCUUUAUUCAUUUCAUUUAUCUCUUUAUUCUCUAUAUACUCCAUAGCUUUUUUCUCUUAUUGUCAGUAAGUUGACCUAAAACUCUCACACUUCUUAUCUUGAAAUGGUUUUGAAUGGACAAAAUCAAUGCAUGUAAAAUAACUUUUUUAUCCCUCAAGUUUAUGUUGCAUUGAGAUUUCUCUUUGUGCAUUAUAGAGCAAACUCAACAUUAUGGAAGGGUCUUUGGUUAGUAAUAAAAUUGUAUCUUUUGUUACCUUUCUUUUUCUUUUUCUUUUUUUCCAUGUUUUAACUUCUGUUCUCUGUCAAACUUUGCUAUUUAUUUAUUUAUUUGUUGAUAAUGCAACCACAAUAUUUUUUUGUUAACUACAGAGAUGACGAUAAGGGUUUGGCUAUUAUGUCACGCCAUCGCUAUCCAAUAGAGGCUUGCCGCCUUUUCGAAAGGACUGACUACUCAAAGUUAAAAGCCACCCUAAAUAAGCCAAAUUCAACCAAGCAUGAUGAGUCUUCAGAACUUAUUGAUGAUGGGAACAAUAUUCCAGAUAAAUCCAAAGAGCAAACUAAAUCUAAGAAUAAAAAAGCCAAUGAUGGUGGCCAAUCAAAUAAAGCUACUUUGAAGACCAUUAUUGGAGAGGCUUUGAGCUAUGGACCAGCACUCUCUGAGCAUAUUAUAUUGGACGCUGGCCUGCUUCCAAAUAUAAAACUUGGGAAAGAUCCUGAUAGUAAAAUUGGGGAUGACACGAUACACCUUCUUGCAGAAGCUGUUUCGAGGUUUGAAGAUUGGCUUGAGGACAUCAUAUCCGGUAAGAGGAUUCCCGAAGGAUACAUUGUGAUGCAGAGUAAAACUACUGGAAAGGAUACAAAAAACCCACAAGAAUCGGCUUCAUCUUUGAAGGUUGAUAUAUUACUUCUGUUCAAAGAUUACAUUGUUUGGAUGAUGGUUUAGCAGUACUACGGAAGUCAGCUAGUUGUAUCUUCCAUUUUAAUUUCGUUUCUUUAAUCUUAUGCAAAUUAACUAUGAUAAUUUGCUGUUCUUAACUUUCGCGGGUAUGUCUAUGCAAUAAUACUUCCUUUAGGUUGUUCUUUCUGAAUAUAGUGGGUAGGCCAAGUUUAUUAUGCUGUAUUUGCCGUUCACUUAAUUGCAAUAUCUCCUUUUAAUUGUUUUUACUUUUUCUCGAGGAAACAGUGCUUUUCAAAUAUACGUUCAAUCAACUGAAUUUUGAUAAUGCGUAUUUGGUGCACUGAUUGGGCAUAUGCCAGUAACAUGCAUCUACCAAGUGUUUGACUGAACGUUUUGUUCUCAUUUUAUUCGGUGUCACAUAUGAAUCGUCAUUUAUUUAUCAUGCAAUAUGAGAUUGACCAUUAUGAUGUGAAUUCUUUGGUCUUAUCUUGUUCUGUGGCCUGAUAAGUGAACCUUCAUGUAAAUCAGUUUGGACAAAUUAUGGCAACGUAAUAGAAUAUUUUAUUUGUUUUAAACCAAUACUGAUAUAUUUAUCAGUUUUUGGUCAAGCACUCUUGCCCUAUUACUUUAAGUACACAAUUAGGGUUUUGAUAAGAAAAUUCGGGCUGGAUUUCAUUUUUCCUUCAUUUCUCUCCUCCGUGUCUUUGUGAAUCUGUUGAUUUAUGCUCAAAUAAAGUUGAUCUGCUCCUUUUGAUGAUUUAUCUACUCUGUGAGAAAAAUAAAGCAUAUUCUUUUAUUUCCAUUUGCAGAUAUAUGAUGAAUUCUGUCCUAUACUGCUGAAUCAGUUCAAGUCAAGGGAAUCUGUUAAAUUUGAAACAUUUGAUGCAGCUUUGGACGAGUUCUACAGUAAAAUCGAGAGCCAAAGAGUGGAGCAGCAGCAAAAAGCAAAAGAAGAAACAGCAAUACAAAAGCUUAAUAAGAUACGCUCGGAUCAGGUUCACACUUUCUCUCUUUCUCUCUCUUUCACAAAAUAGCCUCUGUAGCAUUUUAAGUUAUUCUUACGAUGCAGGAAAACCGUGUACAUACAUUGAGGAAAGAAGUGGACCAUUGUACUGAAUUGGCGCAACUGAUCGAGUACAACUUAGAAGAUGUGGAUGCGGCCAUUCUAGCCGUCCGUGUUGCCCUAGCAAAUGGGAUGGCUUGGGUAGAUCUUGAGCGCAUGGUGAAGGAAGAGAGGAAAUCAGGAAAUCCAGUAGCGGGUCUCAUUGAUAAACUCCAUUUGGACAGAAAUUGUAUUACCCUGCUCCUCAGUAACAACCUCGAUGAAAUGGAUGACGAUGAAAAAACUGCCCCUGCUGAAAAGGUUCUUCUUUUAGUGCCUUACUUUGACUGCUACCACUGUUCCUUCAUUUUGUCUUCAUCUGGAAUUUUUUUUAGAUUGAGGCUCUGCAGAUGCACGAAUAUAUUUCAGCAUUUCCCCCUCUGUUAAGGCUUAUUAUUAUUAUUGCAUAUUGCAUGAUGAUUCCUGGUUCCAAAAUGUUACAUUCCUAUUUACAUGCUUUUGUUUUCAUUUACUUCAGGUAGAGGUCGAUUUGGCACUUUCUGCACAUGCAAAUGCACGCCGCUGGUACGAAAUGAAGAAAAAACAGGAAAGUAAGCAAGAAAAGACCAUAACAGCACAUGAGAAGGCUUUUAAAGCAGCUGAGAAGAAGACGCGCCAACAACUUGCUCAGGUAAUCUUGUAGAUUAUGCUUCAAAUUCCACUUUGGACAUAAAGUCAUGUAAGACUUUAAAUUUAACGUGGAUACCCGUAUAUUGCAAAUUAAGUUUAGCCUCCUCUUUAGAUUUGGUGAUAUCUCGAGGGUGUGCCAUCAAGUCAUGUUUUAACUCAAAAUCAUUGGAGUUAGUCGGUCACUUCAAACCAAAUUAAAGACAGUUGGUCAAAUUACAAUUAGGAAAGUUUGGUAAAUUUGUAAUUCAUAAUAGAGCGGAAUUUCAUAUACAGCUUUUAUUAAACUGGGCCACGUAUGUUUUUUGCUUUUUGAAACUGGACCACGUAUGUUUUUUGCAUUAUAAUUUCCCAGUAAUAACGACUGUUUUUGUCUUGCAGGAAAAAACUGUUGCUGCAAUAUCUCAUAUGCGUAAAGUUCACUGGUUCGAGAAAUUCAACUGGUUCAUCAGCAGCGAGAAUUAUUUGGUUAUCAGUGGUCGUGAUGCUCAACAAAAUGAGAUGAUUGUCAAGCGAUACAUGUCCAAAGGAGAUCUGUAAGUAAAUCUUACUAUUUUUUUUAUUUCAGUUCAAAACUUUGUCUUACAUUAGGAAUAAUACUGGGUCAAUUAAUGCAGUUGCCUUCAUUUUAUUGGUCAUUGUAAAUAACAUCAUUCUUCAUCGGUUCGUCUUGCAAUAUGAAACUCCUUAUUCAUUAUGGUUUUAUGCUGUGACUUAUUUUGAGCUUUUUAAAUAGGUAUGUACAUGCAGACCUUCACGGAGCUUCGAGUACUGUGAUCAAGAAUCACAAACCAGAUAGUCCCAUACCGCCCCUGACGUUAAAUCAAGCUGGAUGUUUUACUGUAUGUUAAAUAGUUCAUUUUUCUUACUGUAGUAAUGUUAUAGGUUUCUUAGCUUAUUAGUUGUAUAGCAAAUUUAUUCCAUAUUUAUCUAAAUUCAAUCCUUCGUAUAUACAACUUCAUAAAUAUCACCAACCAUCCCUAGCGCAAGUGGCGAAUCCUUGAUGGUUGGUAGCCAUUGUCCUAAGUGCGCAACCUAGUUGCUUCACAUUUUCAGCUAAGGUUAUUUCUGAAAAAAAAUGUAUGAUAUAGAUAGCAUGCUACCAUUCUCUCAAAAAAAAAAAAAAAAAAAAAAAACUAUGCAAAUAUCUAUUUACAUAUUUUCUCGCGCAAAAAUCUGAAAUUCUUGUGCAUGCCAGUAAAACAUUUUUUUCAAUUUGUGUUUUUACGGAAAUGUCAAACUAAUUAUAAUUGAAAACCAACUUUCUCCAAUGAAUCAGAUGACUCCCUAACCUGAAAUAAGGGCACUUUUGCCAGCAGCUGUAAAUUCGAGUGGUAUAUAUGACAAUUCAGAGUAUACAGAUGCAUAAUAUACGUAGAUAAUUUUAUAGGGAGAUAUUUCAAAAGGCCUAUUCAUUUUCUAUUAACUUAUCUGGUAGACUUCUCAAACACAUCUUUAUCUUUAUCUUCUCUUUUUUCCUCUUUUUUAUUUUUCUUUUUUCAGGUCUGUCACAGCCAAGCAUGGGACUCGAAAAUUGUAACGAGCGCUUGGUGGGUGUACCCAAAUCAAGUGAGCAAAACUGCACCAACCGGCGAGUAUCUCACUGUGGGAAGCUUCAUGAUCCGCGGUAAAAAGAAUUUUCUCCCUCCUCACCCUCUUGUGAUGGGAUUUGGUCUUCUCUUUCGUUUGGAUGAAAGCUCCUUGGCUUCACAUCUAAAUGAAAGGCGUGUAAGAGGUGAAGAUGAAGCCCUUCAAGAAGACCAAGAAGAGCCUCGUAAAGAACAGAACGAUUCUGGUUCAGAUGAAGAAAUUAUUAGUGAAGGAGAGACAAGUAAAGAACCAGAUACAGUUCCAGUAUCUCCUAAUGAUAAUGUUGAAGCAAGCAAUUUGAAAGACCUUCACGAUGAGAAUUCCUCUGAUAAAGAUAUUACUUCCCAACUUGAGGUUCUUAUGGAUAAGGCUUUGGGCCUUGGCCCUGCUAAAUUAUCUAAUAAUACCUCUGGUUUGGAUGAUAAUAAAUCGACAUUGGAAGCGGCGGAUGAUGUUGAAGAGAAAAAGGCUGCUGUGAGAGAGAAGCCUCAUGUAUCGAAGGCAGAGAGGCGAAAACUUAAGAAAGGACAGAAUAAAAAUGAAAUCGCGAGUGAGUUACAUGAAAACGAAGCAGGAAAUAAACCCGUUCUUUCAGGUUCUCAACAAGAUAAAGUUAAGGAGAACUUAAAGACUGCUAGUAUGAAAAUUAGUCGUGGGCAAAAGGGCAAACUUAAGAAGAUUAAGGAGAAAUAUGCGGAGCAGGAUGAAGAAGAAAGGGAAAUUCGUAUGGCUUUACUAGCGGUAAAUGCAAUGAUUUUUGGAUUUGUUUAUUAGUUCUUAAGGACUCUGCCAUUUGUCUGCCUUGUUAUUUUUCCCUACUUCCAUUAUUAAUCAUCUUUUCAUUAUUUCAGUCUGCUGGAAAAGCUCUGAAAAAGGAUAAAGAUUCACAUGAUCAGGAUGGUGUUGCUGAAAAGCCAACAAAAGCAGUAUCCGGUACUUUUCUAAAAGUUAUCUCUGGUUUCGAAUUCAUUUUUCCUAAAUCAUAAUUAAAAAAAAGAAAGAAAUUGUCCGUAGGAGUUUUUCUUUUGACGUGCAGCUAGAAAUUUUUGGCAUUGCAUUAGAUUCUUAUUAUCUGGGGAGUGUCAAAAUAAUUUUUACCGGCAUUUUAUUUAAGGUCUGCUAUUUUUUCUAUGAAAUGAUUUUUGCAUUAACUUGUUUUCUUUAGUCACAAAUCUUAUUACAAUUAAAAUAUUUCCCUGAUUAUUUGGGUCAUUUAUGCUUUUAGUAGAUGCCUGAAGAAUGAUCAAUUUUGUUAUAGCACAGCAGAAUCACGAAAUUAUAUUUUUAUAUCUAUUCAUUCAUUUCUUUAUCCAUCCUUGCCGGAGUGACAAUAUUUGCUCUUAAUGAGCGUGUCUCCAUAUAUUUUAAUGGAGGAGUAACAGUUCUUGCCUGGAUUUGUUGGGAAUAAUCUGGUCAAACGUAUUUCCUUUUCUUCCUAUUUGCAGGCCAAGAUGAUUCGUUGAAAGUAUGUUACAAAUGUAAAAAAUCCGGCCACCUUUCUCGCGAUUGUCGAGAAAAUUCUUCCGAAGCAGAUCAGCCCCACGGCUUAAAUGCAAAUGGUGCCAACUCUGAGGAUCUUACUUCAGAAGCAAACAAAUCUAAUUCUGAGAUGGCUAAGAUAGCUAUCGAUGAAGAUGGAAUCCAUGAAAUUGGCGAAGAAGAGAAAAUGAAAUUAAAUGAUUUAGAUUACUUGACAGGAAAUCCUCUACCAAGUGAUAUUUUGCUGUACGCUGUUCCGGUUUGCGGUCCUUAUAAUGCGUUGCAAACAUACAAAUACCGUGUCAAGAUAACUCCAGGCACUGCAAAGAAAGGGAAAGGUAUCUUCUUCUCUAAGUUGAAUAUUGAAAUCUCUCUGAAUUGUGUUAUAAAUUUUAAUGCAAACUUUUCCCUACAUAUCUUCCUCUCCGACGGAGGUGAGGAACUUGGGUUAGGAUCUCAUUGUGUCCUUAAAACAUUCCCAACUUUUGGUGAUUUGACAUCUAUGUAUCGUCCUUUCAGCUGCAAAAACUGCGAUGAAUCUAUUCAGUCACAUGCCCGAAGUGACGAACCGAGAAAAGGAACUAAUGAAAGCAUGCACCGACCCGGAAUUGGUGGCCGCAAUUAUCGGCAACGUUAAGAUCACCGCGCCAGGUCUCACUCAACUAAAGCAGAAACAAAAGAAGGGGAAGAAGUCGUCAAAGGAAAACUAGAAGAUACUUCAGCAGGCUGCAAAGCUUCAAAAGAUUACUCGUCAGAAUAUUUGGCUCGUGUCUGGGAAUUUUCUUCAUAGACAGACGGAAGAAAAGGCUAAAUGGUUUUCCGUGGCAAGAUCGAAUAGAUGUGAACUAAAAGAAGAUUGAAUUUUGAGCUGUUAAUAGAUCAGAUUUGUAUCUUAGAGGGUUUUUUUUUUUUUUUUUUCCUUCUGUUUUCAUCUUUGAAACUUCAAUGUUGCAAUGUAAUAUACAAAUCUGAGAUUCAGUUCUUUGCAACUUACCUGCAAUGUAACAUAACCUAUCAUGCUCAAACUGUGACAACUACUGAUACUUUGUUCGCACACUGUUCGAUAAUGAUAUUAAAAUGUUGUGGAAGAGUUCUUCAUCGAUGUAUGUAAUCAUAAUUUAUCGGUCAUUUCUCCUGGUCUCUUUUUUCUUUUUAAUCGAAAUGAAAACAGCAUCAGCAAAGGGCUAAUGCUUUGUCCGAUCGCGAAACUGUUCGAGUAGUUUUUCGUUGAUGCUUUACUCUAUUGUAAUCAUCUUUGUUGUGAAUUAUACUCAUUUUCACUUGAAAUUGUUAGCAUUUAAACAUUAUAUGAAUAUAAGAUUAUUCAACCAUGGCUACAUAAAUUUUGUUCAUUGUUAUUAUUUAGUGUGCAUUAUUGAACAAUGCUGAGCAACCCCACAGAGCUUGUAGAGUUUUACUCCACAAUUUAUCCCAUUUGUUUUUUUUUCCUUUUUAAAUUUUGUGGGUUAUUUGAUCCGCGGCCAUCCAAACUUUCGCUUGAAUUUUGAAAUUUUAUAUGUCAAACCAAAAUUUUUAAAAUUUUACAUUCGGCUGUGUAGAUUUAUAUUUUAAGAAUUUAAAGUAAAUAAUGGAGAAAUAAUAAAAAGAAUAUGUCCGCAAAAUAGAAUGAUUUUUUCGACAUCAAAUUGAAUCCAACAGAAAUUGACUUUUAAUAUUUUGACUUUUUAUAAAUUAAAUAUAAUAAUCACGGUGAAUUUUAUUCAUUACGCUAGUAUAUAAUUUAUAUUAUUUUUGACCAAUUAGAUAAUAUUAAUCAUUUAAAAUUAAUGAAAUAUGAAUCUAAAUGGUUGAUUAUAAAAUUUUUAAAGUUUGGAAGGUAAAUCUAAAAUUUUGAAAAUUUAGAGCAAAAGUUCGAAUUGUUCAGACAAAUUUAAUGCCCUCUAUUUUAAAUUUUUUAAAAUUUUUUUAUUUUGUAGCUAUUGCAUCAUAUUUUAUGUCGUUCUCUUGUUACUACACUCCUCCAAUAACUUCCCAAUAACACCCCCAAUGAAACUUAAUUACCACACCCGUAUAGUUUGGGGGAGUUAUUCGGAGCCCCACAAUUUCCCCCAUUCCGUACACAUUGGGGUAGUUGUUGGGUUAGUUCUCAUAUCUCCGUGGACUCGUCCCCUCUCUCGCCCCAUUUCUCCCCAAAAACCCUAGAAAUCCUCCAAAACCAAAACAAAAACCUUGAUUUCCGUCAAAUUUUUCUCCGAUCAAAUAAAAGGAUGCGUCUUUUGCUCGAAAUCCUAGUCUCCGCCCUUUCGAACGGUGCAAUUUGAUACCGAUUUUGUGGGAAUUGGACCAAUUUCUCUACUUUUUUUUUUUUCCUAAUUUUUACCCGAGCUUGGAACCCUAGAUUUUCGUCAGAUUUUUCUCCCUUCGCAUCAAAUAAUGCAUGUCUUAGUCGAAACCCUAAUCUUCUCUGUUUCGAACUGUUCAAUUUGAUCCUGAUUUUGCAAAUUUGGGCCAAUUUCUCUACUUUCCAUUCCCAAUUUUUACCAUAUUUUUACCAGAGCGAGAAACCUAGAUUUUGCGUCAGAUUUUCUCCGUUCGCAUCGAAGGCCAAAACUCUUGUAAAAAAAACAAAACCCUAAUCUCCGCCUUUCGACCGGUGCAAUCUCUUCCCAGUUUCGCCAAAUUUAGGCCAAAUUCUCCACCUUUUUCCUCUUUUUUUUUUUUUUUUUUUUUUUUUUUNUGUACUCAUUUUCACUUAAAAUUGUUAGCAUUUAAACAUUAUAUGAAUAUAAGAUUAUUCAACCAUGGCUACAUAAAUUUUGUUCAUUGUUAUUAUUUAGUGUGCAUUAUUGAACAUGCUGAGCAACCCCAUAGAGCUUGUAGAGUUUUACUCCACAAUUUAUCCCAUUUGUUUUUUUUUUUUCCUUUUUAAAUUUUUGUGGGUUAUUUGAUCCGCGGCCAUCCGAACUUUCGCUUGAAUUUUGAAAUUUUAUAUGUCAAACCAAAAUUUUUAAAAUUUUACAUUCGGCUGUGUAGAUUUAUAUUUUAAGAAUUUAAAGUGACUAAUAUAAGCCAAAUAAUGAAGAAAUAAUAAAAAGAAUAUGUCCGCAAUAUAGAAUAAUUUUUUUGACAUCAAAUUGAAUCCAAUAAACAUUGACCUUUAGUAUUUGACUUUUUAUAAAUCAAAUAUAAUAAGUACGGUCAAUUUUAUCCGUUACGCUGGUAUAUAAUUUAUAUUAUUUUUACCAAUUAGAUAAUAUUAAUUAUUUAAAAUUGAUGAAAUAUGAAUCAAAAUGGUUAAUUAUAAAAUUUUUAAAUUUGGGAAGGUAAAUCUAAAAUUUUGAAAAUUUAGAGCAAAAGUUGGAAUUGAUAGGAUAAUAUUUAAUGCUUUCUAUUUAAAAUUUUUAAAAUUUUUAAUUUUGUAGCUAUUGCAUCAUAUUUUAUGUCGUUCUCUUGUUACUACACUUCUCCAAUAACUUCCCAAUAACACCCCCAAUGAAACUUAAUUACCACACCCGUAUAGUUUGGGGGAGUUAUUCGGAGCCCCACAAUUUCCCCCAUUCCGUACACAUUGGGGUAGUUGUUGGGUUAGUUCUCAUCUCUCCGUGGACUCGUCCCCUCUCUCGCCCCAUUUCUCCCCAAAAACCCUAGAAAUCCUCCAAAACCAAAACAAAAACCUUGAUUUCCGUCAAAUUUUUCUCCGAUCAAAUAAAAGAAUGCGUCUUUUGCUCGAAAUCCUAGUCUCCGCCCUUUCGAACGGUGCAAUUUGAUACCGAUUUUGUGGGAAUUGGACCAAUUUCUCCACUUUUUUUUUUUUCCUAAUUUUUACCCGAGCUUGGAACCCUAGAUUUUCGUCAGAUUUUUCUCCCUUCGCAUCAAAAUAAUGCAUCUCUUAGUCGAAACCUUAAUCUUCUCCGUUUCGAACGGUUCAAUUUGAUCCUGAUUUUGCAAAUUUGGGCCAAUUUCUCUACUUUCCAUUCCCAAUUUUUACCAUAUUUUUACCAGAGCGAGAAACCUAGAUUUUGCGUCAGAUUUUCUCCGUUCGCAUCGAAGACCGAAUCUCUUGUAAAAAGAACAAAACCCUAAUCUCCGCCUUUCGACCGGUGCAAUCUCUUCCCAGUUUCGCCAAAUUUAGGCCAAAUUCUCCACCUUUUUCCUCUUUUUUUUUUUUUUUUUUUUUUUUUUUUUUUUUUUUUUUAUUUNNNNNNNNNNNNNNNNNNNNNUCUCUCUCUCUCUCUCUCUCUCUCUCUCUCCUUCGUUCCCUCUCGCUUCUCCUUCCUUGUCUCCCUCAAAUCUCUCCACUUCGCCACGCUCUCGUUUCCGAUGGAAUCAGAAUCGCCCACUUCGGAUCGAAAAGGUAAAAAUUUUGUUUGAAUUAGAAAUUUCUAAAACCUAAAAAGAAGAAUCAUAAGCGAUUGCUUUUUGUUUUUUUUUUUUUUUUUUUUUUUUGCCCUAGCGGAGUUCGAUGGUGGUGAUCGAGCCCAAUCCCGAUGCCGAGGAUCGCCGGAGACGGCGUACGAAUCUCAGAGCGCCGGGCGCUCCUCCUGAGGCCGCUGCGGCUCCGCCGCCCCGGGGCGUCGCCGGCGCCGGAGACGAUGGAGGCGACUCCGACUCCGACGAAUCCCCGGAGAGUGCUCGUAACAACAUGCGCAUAAAAGAGGUCCUUUUUUGUCCCUUUAUUUUUACACUCCUCAAAUUUCUUUUUUUUCCUCGCAAUUUGCAUUGUUUAGUUUUAGUGAUUUAUUAUGUCUAUUUGAUGCAUCUUAUUUAUGACACAUCCUAAAUUUUUACGGAAAUUUUUUUUUUUUUGUUGCUAUACUUUUUGUUCAUUUUGUAUGUAGCAAAGAUGAUCGAAGUAUACACUGAUCCCCUCAACUAUAGGCCAAUUAAAAAAUGAAUCUCCCUCAUCUUUUGAUUCUUCAUAUUUAAGUUAUUUUCAUCACUAGAUUUUCUUAAGCUUAAGCUUUUACGAAUGCUUUUUCCGUUGACGGAACCACGGAUUUCGGUAACUAUUAAUAGUUCAUAGCUUAGAAGCAGUAGUAGAAUGAGGAAUUUAGUUUCGUGGCGAGACGUUGCGUUAUCUUUUCGUUUCCUCGCAUUUUGUUGUAUGAAAUUUCCGAGACAUGUCCUGCAGAGCUCUUCGGGAGUAGAGCCAGCGGAAGACCGAAGCGCCAACUCGAGCGAAGAAUGUUCUGCUGGAAAGGAAAACGGAAUGGCGGCGGUCGCGCACGAGGAACCCACGACUAGUGCGGCAGACGAUGCGCUGGUUCCGAAAGUGGGGAUGAGAUUCAAGAGCAUCGAAGAAGCUUUUCUGUUCUACACGGCGUACGGGUAUCGAACCGGCUUCGGCGUCACGAGACGAACGAGCCACAGCAUGCACGGAAAGAAGUACCGUCAAACAUUUACUUGCUGUAAAGAAGGGAAUCCGAGAGUGAAAAAGGCGGUCGUCAAGUGCAGGAGAAGACCCAUAGUUAAAUGCGGAUGCCGAGCCAUGAUGGUUAUAAAAGACCCCGCUUUAAAGGAUUCGUGGGUUAUCGAUUAUGUUAUACUGAAGCACAAUCACCCACUCGAUCCCGAUCGGGUUCGGUUCAUGAAAUGCUUCCGAGAACUGCCGAUCACGAUUAAGAGGCAGCUUCACGUGAACGAAUUCCAGGGCACGCUUCCCACCAUGCCCAUCAACGCGGUCAUUUCUCAGGCGGCCGAAAACAUGAGUUCCUCGUCCAACCAGAAGGGUUCCAGAAACCUUGCGGAUCAGAUGAGGAGACUUAGACUUGGAGAGGGAGAUGCCGAGGCUCUUACGAAGUUCUUUGACGCCAUGCAACUGCGAAACCCGAGCUUUUUUUACAGUUGCGAUAUGGAUGCGAAUGGCCUUCUUGCGAACGUCUUUUGGGCUGAUGCGAGAUCGCGAGCUGCGUAUCGGCACUUCAACGACGUUGUUACUUUCGAUACGACCUACUCAUCGAGCAAAUACCAUAUCCCUUUGGUUCUCUUUCUGGGAGUAAAUCACCAUGGCCAAUCUAUCUUGCUAGGUUGCGGUCUUCUCGCCAGCGAGAGUAAAGAAUCCUAUGUCUGGAUCUUUAAAAGGUGGCUAAGGUGCAUGAACGACAAGUCUCCGAACGCUAUAAUUACUAAUCAAGACGAAGCAAUUCGUGGGGCGGUUCAGGAAGUGCUUCCUAGUGCUCGACAUCGUUUUUGCCUCUGGCAUGUCAUGAGGAAGCUACCUGAAAAGCUGGGGAAAGCGCAAGCGAAGGAGGAAAUAGUCAGUAAAUUAAGUAAAGCUGUCCAUGAUUCCAUAACCAUAAAUGAAUUCGAGAUGGAAUGGGAGGAAACAGUUGUUAAAUACCAACUCCAUGAUAAUGAGUAUCUAUCGUCCUUGUAUGAAGAUCGGAAGCAGUGGGUUCCCGUUUACGUGAGAAGCGCUUUCUGGGCGUCCAUGUCUUCCACCCAUGAUAACGAAAGCGGAAAUGCUUUCUUUGAUGGUUUCGUGACCUCUAAGACCUCGCUAAAGAAGUUUCUAGAGCAAUAUGAUAGCGUUCUGAAAGAUAAGUGGGACAAAGAGGUUCAAGAGGAUUUCCACUCAUCACACACUUCGCCCCAGCUAAUAUCCGGAUUUGAAUUUGAGAAACAAAUUGCAAAAUUGUAUACUGCGAACAUGUUUCAGAAGUUCCAAGAUGAGGUCAGGCACUUAAUCCAAUGUGUGUGCACACGAGUCGAGAGGAACGGCCCUAUAGUAACGUACAUGGUCACCGAACUUAUUGAGAGCCGGCAACUUGACUACAAGGUCACCUACAAUUCAGCCGAGCACGAGGUGUGGUGUAUUUGUUGCUCUUUCGAAUAUAGUGGUAUAUUGUGUAGGCAUGCAUUGUGCGUGCUUCGGCAAGAAUUCGUCGUGAUAUUACCUUCGAAGUAUGUAUUAGCCCGUUGGAGAAAGGAUUUCAAGAUAUUGCAAGCUUUCAACUCUACUCCACAAAUGGCGUUAACGGGCGAAACGGGGAACUACGAUGAACUUGUCGCGCGUGGCCAACAAUACCUUUUGGAUAUCGCGGAUUUUGCGGCAUUUAAUCAUGAUAUGAAAGUGUACGCGCUCAACGCUUUGAGGGAGGCGAGGGACAAAGUAGUGAAGCAAGAGGUCUCGCUCGGCGAUAGGACCGUCGAUGACGAUAGCCUUCACAAUACUCUUCUCGCGAGCAAUAUUUGUAUUCCCCCGAACAUGGACGUACAAAGCGAUGGGCUUUUCUUGGCUUCUGCGACCAAGGUCUUCGACUCUCCCCGCGCCCACCCUAAGGUUCCUCAUAAGAAGAGGCCUGUUAGCCAGAGGGAAAGAGCUUCUGAGGAAUUAAAGAAACAGAGAAGGGAAAACGACUCGAUUAUCGCCAGUAAAAAUGUCGGCCUGCAUGUAAGUUUUGUUUGCAAGAACAUUCUUGUUUUGUGAAUUUAGUUCGAUGUAACUCGUACUUACAAAUGGGUCUUUUAUUAGGUUCUCGAGAAUCAGUCUAAUGCGGCAGUUCCAAUGACCCAAUUUACGACACAAGAAAACUUUUCGGUCCAGGUAUGUUGAACACGCCAAGGUCAUUUCCAAUCUCCGGUUUAUUACACUAAAAACUCUUCCACCGGUUCUCUCUAGGUGGGGUCGGAUCCUUCGCCUUGGUUAUACAACCCCUCUUAUUUCUAUUGGCACGGGGCUGGUAUUCAAGACCCGACGAGAAGAACAUGAUGAUGUGCCGUUUAAUUUCGUCUUUCGGCGAGUAUUCGAUUCGUUAUAGCACCCUAAAGGUAGUUUCUCUGACCUAACGAUGCCGUCGGUGUUUAAACAUUAUGAUCCACUUUUCCACUUUGAGUUCGUGUAUCAUCAUCGUAUCUCGUCUCUAUACGGCCUCCGAAUAAUUCAUCUGAGAACUUGUUUAAGAAUCUUCUUUCCGGACCAUUGAAAUUUGUUGGACAAAAUAUUGGUUUUAGAUUGGUAGUAUUUAGCGAAGAUCGAAAUCGAGCAUAUAAACAUCUGGGAAGAUCCUGCUGCAUUGAUGUCUCGAAGUUUCGUUAUCAGCAGUACGAAUAGAUCGAAGUUUCGCAUUUUGUUAUGUAAUGCGUCGGUAGAGUAUAUUAAUACAUGUUCUUAUGUUGCAGGAGAACUGAGCCUCAAUGGCACUAAAUCUAUCGAAGAUCCGAACCCAAACUCGCGCACUUUUCUCGCAAACAUGAGCUCACUUAGAAGUGGAGUUACCUGAUUCAGAAAUGGGAGGAUAAUAUGUAUCAAUGCAAUAUGUAAAUUAUGUAGUUUUAGGAAACUCUUUUUUGUUUUGCUGUUUCUUUUCUUUUCUUUUCUUUUCUUUUUUUUAUUCCUUUGUGUUGGAGUAUUAAGUAGUGGUUGUUGAUCCUUGUUUAGUUGAAUAAUUCAAGCUUAUGGUUGAAAAAAAAAAAAGAAGAAAUUUCUCUUUUUUUUUUUUGGGCAUUGGGGCAUCAUGCAAAAUUCGUGAGAAAAAUGCAAUGGAUGAUUUGAGUAAAUUUCAUUUUGAUUCUAUGCUAAUUGUUAUUUGAUUCUAUGUAAAUUUCCUGUAAGUGAUUUUCAAGUUAAAAAUAAUUUUUAUUUUAAUUCACUGCACCACCACCAACAGCGAAGUUAAUUAUGGCAAAAGUAGAAAUUUUCGUCUGAAAAUAACUUCACCCUUAUAAAGAUGUUUGGGUUUGGAUCGGAUUUUUAAAAAUCCGAACCCGAACCCGAAAAUUAAAUUAUUUUUGUCAACUUCGCAUACCACAAUAAAUCAGUUAUACUAUAUUUUCUACAGUCUCAUAAAAAAAUACAUAAAUUUUUUUAGAUUCCCCAGUAGGCCUUAUAUUGUGAAUUCAAUCAAAAUUUAAAGUGCUCAUCGACACAGACCAUAUCUACUGUACCGUAUCGUGUCAGUAAAAUAUCGACAUGAUACAGUUAUCGAUGAUACAGCUCAAAAUUUUUUUUUCUUUAAAUUAUUUUAUAAUUUCUCAAAAAAAUUCAAAAAACUUUGAUAAAAAUACAUAAUAAGCAAAUAAAAUAUUUUAUUUUUAAAAUAUUAAAUAUUUUAUAUUAUUAUAUGUUUAUAUAAAUAUAUAUUUUUAUGACGCAUUGGCCUACAAUUCUAUUUGAGGAAACUUAAAUCCUUUUAGAACCCACCCUUUUUUUCUCUAUUAAUUAAUUAAUUAAUUAAUUAAAUCAUAUAUAUUAUAAUAAGGCCGCAUAUUCUAAAGCAUAGGGAUAUCCCUAUCCCCUUCCUCAACCCUCUCUCUCUCUCUCUCUCUCUCUCUUCUCAAUCGAGCUUCGCCAUUAGCCGAGUCUUAAGCUCACUCUCUCCACCUAAUCCAAGUGUAUGCUCUCUCUUCUCCCCUUUUUCUCAAAAAACUUUGGAUCAAAUUGGAUACUUGAUCGAUCUACACAGCUGUAGCUUAACACUGCUUCAAUUUUUUUUUCUUUUGGGUUUUUUUUUUUAUGGUUUAAAUGAUCAAGAUUAGUGGUAAAUUUAUGGGCUUUCUCUGUUAGAUCAUCUUACUAAAUUGAAUCUAUAUGGAGAUAGUUUGAGUCUAUGAUUUUUGAGUUUUGGAGUACUUGAUUUCUCUACCUAGGUUAAGAUUAAGUAGGUAUGUGAGCACAUUAUCCACCAUUUGUUUUUCGGAAAAGUUCGAAAAAUCGCCCUUGCUGUAUAACGCAUUUGCAGUUUAGUGCCCUGUUGUUUCGAAGUACUUUAUAGAUUCUAUUGUAGUUUCUGUAAUCAACGCGCGAUUUUAUAUACUAUGGGUGGUGAAAAGGAGCAUUUUUUCGCUCUUUGGUUUUAUAAGAUGUAGAACUUCGGAUAAGGGCGUGUUUGGUUCCUCAGGAAAUCAUGGAAAACUGUUUUUCGGGGGGAAAAAAAAGAAGUUUUGACAUAGUUUUUGCUUCCUGAAUAAAAAAUCCGGAAAAUGAAAGCACUACAUUUCCGUAAAAUAUGGAAAAGAGUUGCCCAAAAAAAACUACUUUUUUUAGGAACUAAAUGGACAGGAAAUACUUUUCGAGCCAGAAAACUAGCUUCUAGAAUAUUUUUCGAAAAAUCAAACACCCCAUAAGUGCUUCAUUUUGAAUCGCAGGGUAGUAAACCUCAAAUUUAGGGAGUGUUUUCUAAUGGAUGAGAUGUGGCGUUAGCUAGAGCAGUUCAUUUGAGUGCCUAAUUUCUGACUCCUCUAGGAACCAUUUUCCUCUUUAUUAUGUGUUUUAUGUUUUCGAUGUUGAUUGGAAGAGAAACUCGAUCAGAUUACCUCAACAUUUCAAUUUAGAAAUUGUAUAGGAGACACCCCUUUGUCGACACAGAAUCACUUGAAAUCCAGAGAUUCACAGUAAAACUGAGAAUGAUGGAAAUACUUGCAUUUUUGUGUGGCGUUUGCGAGUCUAAUUGAUUCACAUGAAGGAUAUUGAUUCUAAGAUGAUCGCAUUAUAUUGUGCUUGGAAUGUAAGCUACGUUUACGAGUUGAGGUAUCAGGAAAAGAUGAGGGCCAUCAUGGCGAGAGUCAUUGGAAGCACAUGCCUCAUAUUUUAUCUCUCCCUUCCUGCUACUAACUCUGCGGAACUGACUUGCUUUGAAUUAGUUUUGAGUCAGGCACAUCCGGUUGUGUUAGGAAAUCAAGCUAUCUUGAGUCAUGACAUAAACUUUGCUUGAAUGGAAUUAGGGAUGAAAGUUGGCAUCAUGUUAGACUGUCUUAGCAGUUAGAGUGAACUUCCUUACAUGGGUAUGGAAAAAAUGUACAGAACUUAGCUAAACUAUGGACAAUUUUAAAUCGACUACCCGACCUUUCAAAAUUUUUAUUUUACUACUCAACCUUUGAAUUUGUUGAUUUGAUGAAUUUAUAGUUGUAAGAAUUGUAUGUAGUAUACUAACUAAAUCUGUAAAUAUAAACGACGCAUUCACUAUUUGAAGUCAAGGUGUUGUUAACUGACACAAAUGAAACAAAUUGAAAGGUUGGAUAUUAAAAUCAAAUUUUUGAAAGGUCGGAUAAUCGAUUCAAAAUGGUCCGUAGUUUAGGGAGGUUCUGUACAUUUUUACCUAUAGAUACUAUGUUUCUGUCCAUUUCCUUUUAUCUAAAAAUAGCAUGAAUUUGAGAUCUCGCGCAGAGAUUCCUGCUUGUUAAUUUAGUUCAGUUAUAUGCUCCACUGUCAAUAUAUUUUUAAAUUACUAAUUAGACCUUAACGAAGUCCUCAGUUUCUUGUUCAUUGCCAUAGAUACUGUCUAGACCCCAGAUCCAAUCAUCCGAUUAAUCCUUUUUAGUAUUUACAUCAUUAUAAACAGCAAAAUCAGUGUCGCAUGGGAGAUGAUGAAUGAGAGUCGAAUGGUUUCAACUUUCAAUUAUAUCAUAAAUAUAAAUGUGCUUGUCCUCUUUCACAAUUAUAGUAUUUAUAUAUUUAGGUGUCUAUCGACUAACGAAAAAACAGCUAGGGCAGUUAGAAUUUGGAAAUUUCACAAUGGAAAAUUGAUACCUGUAGCUUAUGAAUUUUCUUUUCAUAUAGCUCCGUAUAUUGUUUCUAGUUAAUAUUUCAUGCAUCCUUAUGAACUUUGCUUGUUGUGAAGGUAUGUGAUAUCAUGCAAUGUGAAAACUUUUUCCUUUUUUUUUUUUUUUUCCCCUUUUAAUUAUGAACUUGUAUAUUCUGGUUUUGUAGGUCUAAAUCUACUAAGCAGUAGUAAAAAAACGAAAACAGGAUUACAAAUGGCUCAUUUGCUCUCUACCAGCUGUAUUCACAAUCCAUCUCCAACCACUACUAAACUCAACUUCAAGUCGCUAAACCGAUGUCCGCUCACCCAAACCUCUCUCCCAGUCCGAACCUUAAGAUCGUCUCUCAUGGCCCUCAGAUCAUAUCAGAAAAAACCACUAAAACAUUCCAUUACUUAUGCUACCGCCACCAUAGGCCAAAACAUUGGAAACAAAACCGAUUCUGGAAACGAAGACAACGUUCCAGCGGACUCAUCUUCGAAACCCAAAAAGGUAAUGGUCAUCGGUGGGGACGGCUAUUGCGGGUGGGCCACCGCCCUCCACCUCUCCAACAAAGGCUAUGAAGUCGCCAUUGUCGAUAAUCUUAUCCGCCGCCUCUUCGACCACCAGCUCAGCCUCGACUCCCUCACCCCAAUCUCCUCCAUCCAGAACCGAAUCCGCCGGUGGAAGUCUCUCACUGGCAAAUCAAUUGAUCUCUACAUCGGCGACAUAUGCGAUUUUGAGUUCCUUUCCGAGUCCUUUAAGUCUUUCGAGCCCGGCGCAGUUGUCCACUUCGGCGAGCAAAGGUCUGCGCCUUACUCCAUGAUUGAUCGGUCGAGAGCCGUCUUCACUCAACACAACAACGUAAUCGGAACCCUGAAUGUUUUAUUCGCCAUUAAAGAAUUCAGAGAAGAGUGCCACCUGGUUAAGCUUGGCACGAUGGGAGAGUAUGGCACUCCGAAUAUAGAUAUCGAGGAAGGAUAUAUUACUAUAACUCAUAACGGGAGAACGGAUACAUUGCCAUAUCCGAAGCAAGCGAGCUCCUUUUACCAUUUGAGCAAAGUGCAUGACUCUCAUAAUAUAGCGUUUACGUGCAAGGCGUGGGGGAUAAGAGCCACGGAUUUGAACCAAGGAGUGGUUUAUGGAGUUCGUACCGAUGAAACCGAGAUGCACGAAGAGCUCUCCAAUAGGUUCGAUUAUGACGGCGUCUUCGGGACGGCAUUGAAUAGGUUUUGUGUUCAGGCGGCUGUUGGACACCCGCUUACAGUAUACGGCAAGGGUGGUCAGGUAUGAUGUACCAACCAUAAUUCUCCUUUAGCGCAAUUUUGAACCCACUUCUCCUCUUUUUAACUUUGAAAUUUAAUUUAAUUUAAAAUUUGGAGUUUGAAAUUUAAUUUUGGGAUUUUAAAUUCGGUUAGUUGGGUUGAAGUCGGACUUUGGCUCCCUCCUAGGCCUGAAAUCUCCAAGCGAUUUGAUUUCACCCAAAAUCUCCUAAAUUUUUCCAAUUUUCCUCUGCAGUCAAACUGCUUUUCUUAAAAUCUGUAUCAAACAGAUUUGAAAUUGGGUUUGAAACUUGCACCAUUGGAUUCCUCUUCGAUAAUACCUUCCUGUGAAAUUACUUUUGUGCGCAAUAAUCCUUCGUUGCUCUCCUCAAAUAACUUGGUUGCAUAUAUCAAACAUAAUUCCACUUCAUGAUGACAACAUAACUUGUUCACCGCAAUCAGUUCCUCAUUUUUCGGGGGGCAUGCUUACAUUGUUCCUUUGGAUUUCGUAGAUUCUGGUAAAUGUGAUUUGAGCCUUUUUUGUUUAAGUCGUUUUAUUUUAUUUUUUGAAAGUGAUAACAGGCCAGGUAGACCUGCUUACCAGAAUAAUGUACUACUACAUGAAAUUUUAUACAUCUCCAAAGUUUACAUACAUAGUUCACUGAUAAUUCGUUUCGAAGUCAAAAAAUAGUUUUUGAUGAUUUAGCUGAAGCUAAAAUUUAGAUAGAGAAGUAGCUAAGGAAGAUCUUCAAUAGAGAUUUGAUUCCGACUGCAACUGAUCUUGGGUUUUUAGAGUCAUUUUUAUUGAUUUUGUAAUUUAAGUAUGUUCUCUACUCUUAGUAAAUCUUCUUUUUCGUAAACUUCACGCAGACGCGAGGAUAUUUAGAUAUCAGAGACACAGUUCAGUGCGUCGAGCUCGCGAUCGCCAACCCAGCCAAACCAGGCGAGUUCAGGGUCUUCAACCAGUUCACCGAGCAAUUCUCCGUCAACGAGCUCGCACAACUCGUCACGAGAGCCGGAACGAAGCUCGGGCUCGACGUUCGAGCCGUGUCGGUCCCGAACCCUCGGGUGGAAGCCGAAGAGCACUACUACAACGCGAAGCACACCAAGCUCAUCGAGCUCGGCCUCGUCCCGCACCUGCUCUCUGACUCCCUCCUCGAUUCGCUCCUCAACUUUGCGAUCAAGUAUAAGGACCGAGUUGACCCCGCCCAAAUAAUGCCGAACGUCUCGUGGAAGAAGAUCGGCGCCAAACCGAAGACUGUCGCGCUUUAGCUGUUCUAACUUGUUUAUAAUAAGUGAUUACUAUGUUUCCAAUCAUAUAGUUGGCAUAGUAUCUGUUGUAUUUUAUGAGAUUAGGUUCAACUCUUUUUCUUUUUUUUUUUUCUUUUUUUUGGUUAAGAGAUCAUGGUGAACAUUAAACACUUUAUAAGGGUUUUUGCUUUUUCUAUUUAUGCAUUAUUGUGAUUGUAUAAUGAUUAGCAAAAUUUUUCCAUGUUACGUUGACUUUCACUCCGUUGACCUCGCACAAACGCUAUUGUUGUAAUUUUUUUUUAAUCUAUAAAUAUAUGUGAUUCGAGGCAAAUAAAAAAAAAAAAAAAUUCCCUCCUUGCACUUUAGAAUUAUCAUUUUUUAUAAAUAUUUACUUUAAUUUGAAUUCUAUAUUUUCUACCACAAUUUUAAAUAAUAUUGUGGACCGAACUCCUGUUGACUCCUUAGAACGUUGCCUACACCGGGCGCAUCAUAUUUGUACACUAUUUUUUUAGGGAAAAUUUCUUCACUGCCCUUCCAAAUAAGUCUAAUAUCAUAAACACCCCUAUAAAAAUUAAAAUAUCAUAAAAAACCUUCCAAAAGAGAGAAAUUUUCAAAAAUAACCUUCACAUUAAGUUGUCAUCAAUUUUGAAUAGACAGGCAAAUAAAAUUCCAACUUUACCCCUGUUGUCAUUACCAUCUUAAAAUAUUUAAUUAGCUAUAAAAUCAUUUAUAACUUUAUAAACACCCCUUUAAAUUAUAAAUAAUCUACAUUGAGAGAUAAGUUUUUAUCAAGUAUAAUAUAUAUAUAUAUAUAUAUAUAUAUAUAUAUAUAUAUAGAGUCCGACUACUAUACUAUUAUGAGUACGAUCGUCCUCAUACUCAUAAGUUGUUUUCGAUGAUAGAGCUUCCGAAUCGACGAUCCACACCGUUAAACGUUAUUUACAGCAUUUAAAACUUAUAGAAAUCAAAUUUUAUAAUUUUUCGACAUCAUUUACCUUACGAUCAAGAUGUCACAAAUUUGACAAUUUUUAACGGCCGGUAUGGGAUACUUGCUAGUUUAACGGUGUAAAAGAAUCGAAAUUUGUUGAAUUUUUGAUAAAAAAUUGUAUUUACUACAUAGAUAAAGAUCAAUAACUCUGAUCUUGAAUUGAAGGAUCCGAUCAUCCUUUUUUAGGAUGUCAUUCGAUUUUGACCGUUCAUUUUAUGCCCGCUUGAUGGACUUUAUUAUUUGAAAAAAAAAAAUUAAGCAAAAAUUUGUUUAAAGUAUUAACUAACUCAUUAAAAUAAGGUUAAACAAUUUAUUCAAAAUAUAACCUAAAUAUAUAUAUACAUGAUGUGAACUAAGUUAUUUGAACUGGCAUAAAUUUAUGUGCUUUAGCAUCUCAAAUUUCAAAAUAAAUGAUGUAAAGUAUCUUAUUUUGUAAACCACACAGUAGUAAACUAAAAUGAUGUAUUUUAGUCUUUAUUUUAAUAUUUUAAAAUAAAUAUUAUUAUGCUAAAAUACUUUUGUAAAAGAUUUUAGAUGUUACGGGCAAAAUGGACAUUUUCACUAUAUUUAUGAUAAUCUAAAUAUUUUAGCAUUCUAGAAAGAAAUGAAAAGUAACGAUAAGGGUAUAUUUGAAAGAUAAUAAGCUUUUGUAGAGGUAUCUAUGAUAUAAUCAAAUUUAUAGGGGCGCUAUGAUAUUUUUGAAGUUUAGAGGGGCACCAAUGAAAUUGACCCUUUUCUUUUUAGGUACACGUCCCUGCAAAUAUGGUGAAUUGCAGAUAUAUCCCUACAAAGCUCAACUUUCAUAAGUUAUUCCUACAAAUGUUCUAAUGUAUUCAGAUAUGCCCCUCUGGUUAGGAUCCGUUAGAGAGCUGUUAAUUUUUUAACAGUAGAGUUGUGAAAUGAUAAUUUUGUUCUUACCCUCUUCCUCUUCCUCUUCCUCUUUAGGCUGCUGGAGCGGACGGCGGCGGUGGUGACGGCGACGGCGACCUUGCGGAGCUUGUCGGGGUUGCGGCCAACGAGGAUGCGGAAGAAGCGGAAGGCGAAGGCGCGGCCUAUGCCGUCGGAGGCGCCCGUGACGACGGCCCACGCGGGCACCACGACGGCGACGACGAUCGGGUUAUCGAUGAUGACGAAGAAGAAAAGGGAGGAGAAAAGGAGAAGAAAAGGAGGAUAUGGAGAAAAGGAGGAAGAAGAAGAAGAAGAAGCAGGAGAGGAAGAGGAAGAGGAAGAAGAAGAAGAAAAAGAAGAAGAAGAAGAAGAAGAAUGGCAAAAUUAUCAAUUCACAUUAUUAAUUAACCCAAGAUAAGUAUUUUAACUAUGGUUAACGAAAUUUCUCUAACGGACCCUAACGGUAGGGACAUAUCUGAAUACAUUAGGACUUUUAUAGGGAUAAAUUAUGAAAGUUGAACUUUAUAGCGAUAUAUUUGUAAUUCACCAUAUUUGCAGAGAUGUGUAUGCAAUUAACCCUUUAUAUUUUGAAUUAAUAGUUAAAUUAAAAUUAUAAUCUCUAGCAUUCAUAUUUACUAGUUAAACGCCCGCGCUUCGCUGCGGAAAAAAAAAUUACAAUAAAUAUACAAUAAUAAUUAAUAAAUAAUAAUUAAAAAAUAUUAAAAAAUAAAAAUUAUUUAUAUUAGAGAUUUACUUAAAAUUAAGCCACAACAAAUAUAAUCUUUUCUUUCUUAUUUUGAUUCGCUUUUGGGUCCGUUAUUAAUUGUCCUUAUUAUUUUCUCAUAUAUAGUUUUGAGAUUAAUUUUCUAUUUUCUCUUUUAUUAUAUUUGGUUGGCCGAAAGUGAACGCCUGAAGUACUAUUUUUAGAAAAUGACAUUUUAUAAGUUAGUUUGUUUGUGAAAAUAGAUAGUUUGCAUUUGGAAUUAAUUUCAAUAAUCAAAUAGUAAAUCAAAAUUUGAGUCAAAUCAUGAAUUCAAAUUAUGAAUUCAAAUUUGAAUUAAGAUUUAAUCUUUAAGUUGAAAUAUGAUUUUAGAAGUUAAUUUUAAUUAUAAGGUAUAACUUAAAAUUUAAAUUCAAAUUAAAUUUGAUUAUAUGUCUUAAAUUUUAAUUAUAAAUUUUAAUCACAAUUAGGUUUAAAUUUAAAAUUUAAAAUUUAAUUUUGAAUUCCAAGUGUAAAUUUAAAUUUAAAUUUAAUUUAUAGUCGUUUGUUUAUAUUUUUACUUUUUUAAUAUAAUCAAAUAAUCAAACAAUCGAAAUCAUCAAAACCAAAUUUUUUUAUUUUUUACUUUAUAUCCAACCAAACAAUGAAAUUCAAAAAUUACUUUCCUAAAAGCCACUUUUAUAAAAUUAACUUUUUUCACUUCAAUCAUUUUUAGGCAACUAAUCAUGAGAUUAUAAUUUGUAUUAUACCCCAAAUCUAUUUUAUCUGUGCACUUAUUAAAUAUAAAUUAAAAAUGUUAUUCUUAGGUAGGUAGUGUAAGCUAUCAGAGAAAAUAAUUGUUUUUCAUAAUUUAAUGUAGUAUUAAAAUAGAAGGUUAUAAUUUUGGAUUUUGAUAUGCUCCUAACUUUAUUUAAUUUUCUUUCAUUUAUUCAAGUAAAUGUUAGGUCUCUUAAAAGUGGAGUCCAGAUAUUAGAAGAUAUGUUAAAUAAAAAAGAAUCACAAAAUAGUAUAGUGACUCCUGUGUCCCUAAUACAAUUUUGUUUGUGAGCGACGCAGCUCUUAAAUUAGUUGCCGCAACCACCACCACCGCAGCCCCAACCUCUAUCCCUUCAUUAGCCCUUGCCCGUCUGCCGCCGCUCGCUCUCCACCCGCGCGCCGGCCCUUGAUGCCUCCGCGGCCCUCGCCGCGGCCUCCGUGGCCGCUGCUGCUGCCGCCGCUGCGCUCUUGCCCCUGCUUCCCCUCCUGCUCCUCCUAGUCGUCGUCCUUCUCCUCGCUCUCCUCCUCCGCCGAUUACGCGAGAUCCUCCGGAGCAUCGGGGAACGGGGCGGUGGGGAGGGUUUCGUGCCUCAUCGAGAGCGAGCCCGCCUUCAAGAGCUCCAGAUCCAUCGGAUUCCAGCUCCCGCGCUCCAGAUCGAUCGCCGUCACCUCCGGUCAUGGCAUCGGCGGAGGAGAGGAGGGGGAGGCGAAGAGGCGGGGAUGGGCGGCGCUGUGGCCGUUCUCGAGGUCGGCGGCGGCGGCGGCGGCGGCGGAGGCGGAGGGGGUGAAGUUGUCGAGAUGGAGAUCAGGUUCCGGAGGUGGAAGAGAGGGGAAAGGCAAGGGGCGGCAUUGGCACUUUCUAAGCCCGAUGAAAGCUUUUGGGUUAAGAUAGAGAGAACGGAAGAGAGCUAGAGAGAGAGUAGGGGAGAGGAGGAGAGAGAGAGAGAGAGAGCAAGAAGGAGAGGAUUUUCUUGGGAAAGAGGAUUUUCUUGGGAAAGAAAGAGCUGUUGGAGGUUAGGGUUUUUGGGUGCUUAAAGUAUUACACCAAAAGACGUCAAGUUUGGAACGCUCAACAGUGUUACCUUCAGCGUAAGAAACCCUAAAUUUAAUAAAUAAGCUAAUUGGGCUCCAGAGAUAUGGGCCUUAAUACGCUUUCACUUAUUGGGCUUGUAUGUGAACAUAUUAUUUGGAUUAUAUUAUAACAAAAUAUCCAAUAACAAUAUAUCCAACAAUCUCUUCCUAUGUUCACUAUACAGUACAAUCCAAUACAGUGGUCAGUGUAAUGUUCAAACAAUUAUGAAUCAUCCACAUUCAGUCCAAGACAAUCAACUCAGAUUAAAAACUCAAUCAUCAAUUGUAAUUCAAAUGAGUGAAUCAUUCUUAUCAUGAAUCUGUUCUGAGAUCGACAUAUCCAAAAUGAUUCUCAAAAUCAGUUCACAACCAACAUAUGCAUAACGGUCAAAUAUAAGUAGGCCAGUCAAAAUAAUCCAAGGCCUUACAAAUAAAAGAAAAAGACAUAAUAAUAUUCACAAAUAUAGAUAGCCAAAAACAAGUCUUAAGUAAAUGGACUCCAUCAAAACAGGUAAUAGUAGGUGAACUGUCAAGUUCCCGUACACUCUAAAUGAUAUAUAUAUUCAUUCAUCAAAUAGAUCAUCCUGAUCUGGAUCUCACUUAUUAAGCUCUCCUCCAUCCCUGCCAUCCUCUGUAGAAUAUCAAAUAUAAAUUUCAUAUUAUCAUGAAUUUAAUCAUUUGAAUAAUCCACUAAAAAUGUCUAGUUCUACUAAAAGAACUUAGCAUCAUAACAUCAGGCAGAGAAGAAUAUAUAUUAAUGUCAUAAAGCAUCAUAAUAUCAUGUUCACAAGUAUCAAGCCAGUUUCAUAAAUUAUGAAUAAAGCCUAAAUAGUUUGAUUUAUAAAGAGCCAUCAACUUAAGUUUAUUUGUAAGAGAAUAAUCAUUGUCUAGUUUCAAAGAACAUGACCAAAACCAACAGACUUCUUAUGCAUAUAGCUAUUUCUAUGUUUCAAUUUGGAAUGUCACAGUUACUAAUUCUUUUAAGUCAAAUAAUCUAGCAUCAAGUUUGGAAUGAGAUCAUUUAACUAAGAAAAGAAUAGUCCAGCCUAGUUGGAUUGUAUCAUCAAGUUUGGAAUGACACAAGCCUUCCAGGUAGAACUUUGAACUAGGUUAAAGUCAUUUUCAUCAAGUUUGGAAUGAAACAACUCACCUUUUUCAAAUUAGUCCGCAACCAUGAACAUCGAUGAAACAUAUAAAUUGUGCUUGACCACCAAAGGAAGGAAGAUUCGAUAAUUCAAAACAUACAAUUAGAAAGUAAGUAAAUGGUAAUUAAGACUAAUUUACAUAGUCUUUAACCCCAUUUCCCCCACUGUUUUGAAUAAUCGAUCUUUAGUCAUACCUUUUGUGAGAGUAUCGGCCAUGUUAUCCUUCGAUCUCACAUCGAUCAAGGUGAUAACCCCUUGUUCUCUCAGAUAAUUCAACAACGCAUGUCUCAGUCUCACAUGUCUUCUCUUUGAAUUAAAGAAAGCAUUUUUGACAACUUGGACAGCUGCUUGAUUAUCACAGAACAGGCUUAAAGAAUUAAUCUGUAGCCGAGUCAAAGGAAUAUCCAAAAUCAGAUUCUUUAUCCAUUCUGCUUCUUCGCCAGCGGAAGCUAAAGCAAAAAGUUCCGAUUCCAUAGACGACAAGGCAAUACAAGUCUGUCUUUUGGAUUUCCAAGUAAUAGCAGCUCCACCCAAAGUGAAUACAUAUCCACUUGUGGACUUACUAUUUCCAAUUUCUGAGCACCAUGAGGCAUCAGAAUAUCCAUCCACAGUUGGAGGAUAACCAGAAUAACAUAGAGCAUAAUCUUUCGUACCUUUAAGGUAUCUCAUCAGCCUACUAAGGGCAUCCCAAUGCUCUUUACUAGGAUUACUAGUGAAACGACUCAGCAUGCCAACUGUAAAGGCGAUGUCGGGUCUAGUGCAACUCAUAGCAUACAUGAGACUACCAAUCAGUUUUGAGUACUUUAAUUGAUCCACACUGGUCCCUUCAUUAGGACUCAGUCUUUUAUUAUAAUCACAUGGUGUCUCACUCGGUUUACAAUCACUGUAUCCCCAGGUAGAAAGUAGCUGCUCAAUAUAAUGAGUCUGGCUAAGGGAGAUGACUUGCCUUUCAAAUCUUACUUUCAUACCAAGAAUGGUAUUAGCAAUACCAAGAUCUUUCAUGUCAAAUUCUUUAGCUAAAGUAGCUUUCACGUCACUCACUACAGAAUGAUCGGAGCCAAGAAUUAACAUGUCAUCAACAUAUAAGCAAAUGAUGACUAUCUUAUUUGACACAGAACGAUGGUAAAGGCAUUUAUCUGAAUAGCUAGACUGAAAGCCAUAACUCUUUACCACUUUGUCAAAUUUAAGAUGCCACAUCUUAGGUGCUUGUUUAAGACCGUACAAAGAUUUAUUCAAUUUACAAACUUUGUCCUCAAGACCUUUCAUGACAUACCCUUCAGGUUGUUCCAUGUAGAUUUCUUCAUUUAACUCUCCAUUUAGAAAAGCUGUUUUUACAUCCAUUUGAUGCACUACAAAGUGUUCAAUAGAUGCCAAAGCAAGAAGAAUUCUUAUAGUUGAUAGAUGACACACAGGUGAAUAAACAUCAAAAUAGUCUAUUCCACUCUGCUGUUUAUAGCCUUUAGCUACUAAGCGUGCUUUGUAUCUGGCUAUUGAUCCAUCACUAUUCAGUUUCUUUUUCAAUACCCACUUACAGCCUAUAGCCUUAGCCCCUUUAGGCAAAUUGACUAGCUGCCAAGUGUGGUUCUGCAACAGAGAGCUCAUUUCAUCAUCUAUGGCUUCUGCCCACAGUAGGGAUUCCCUAGAUCUCAUUGCUUCUUGAUAAGAAAAUGGAUCAUCCUCGAGAUGGUAAGUAACAAAAUUCUCACCAAAACUUUUGGGAACUCUCUCUCUUGUAGAUAUUCUAACUGGAACUGAUUCAAUAGCCAAUUGUGUGGGAUUAGUGUCAGAAGGGCCUGCUUCAGAUUCUACAGGAGAUUCUGAAAUCAUAUCUGUAGAUCCAGAAACAUUCAAGCCAUGAUCUCUGAGAAACUUAUUCUCAAAGAAUUCUGCAUCUCUAGAUUCUAUCACUGUGUUAGUAGAUAGAUCUAAAAACCUAUCUGCAGCACUAUCUUCUGCACUGCCUAGAUAUACACAGGUAAUGGUUCUAGGUCCCACCUUAGGCCUCUUUGGAUCUUGUAUUCUUACAUAAGCAAUACAGCCCCAGGUCUUAAGAGUAUCAUAUCUACAAGGAUGCUUAUGCCAUAUCUCAUAAGGUGUCAUAGACAACUUAGAGUGUGGCAACCUGUUCAGGAUGUGAUUAGCAGUCAGAACUGCUUCUCCCCAAUAGGAGGAAGGCAUGCCAGCUGUAAGUAACAUAGAAUUUAACAUUUCAGUUAACGUUCUAUUCUUACGCUCAGCAACACCAUUUGAUUGGGGUGAGUAAGGAGCAGUGGUUUCAAGUAUUAUGCCCUCUGAAGCACAAAAUUCCUUGAACCCUGUCAUUGUAUAUUCUCCUCCUCUAUCACUCCUAAACCUCUUAAUUUUCAUGUUGAGUUGAUUUUCUACUCUAGAUUUGAAAAUUUUAAACUUUUCAAAAGCCUCAUCUUUCGAUUUCAACAAAUAGACAUGACAAUAUCUAGAAAAAUCGUCUAUGAAUGUUAUCAAAUACUUUCGACCACCUCUAGUGACGUAAUUUCUAAAAUCACAAAGAUCAGAAUGUAUUAGCUCAAGAAGUUGUGUGCUUUUAGAAACCAUCUUAAAAGGUUUUCUAGUGAUCUUAGCUUGUGCACACACUUCACAUUUGUCAAAUCGAAUAGAAGUAUCCAAUGGAAUGUUGUGAGUUUUAGCUAGAAGUUGCAUUUUCCUGUAGUUCACAUGUCCAAGUCUAUUGUGCAACAACUUUGGAUCAAUCAGAAUAGAACUCACAUGGUUUAUGCUAUCAGUAUCUAAACUCAACCUAUACAUACCAUUAACCAUGAAUGCACAACCAAAAUAACAUGAGUUAACUGAUAAGGUUACUCUACCAUUCAUAGUUGAAAAGGACAUACCAGCUUUAUCAAGUAAGCUCAUAGAUAUCAAAUUCUUUUUAAGUAAAGGUACUACUCUAACAUGUUUCAGAGUUAGUAAUUUACCUGAAGAAAGCACCAAAUUUGCAGUUCCAGUAUGAGUCACUUCUGCCUCACCACCAUUGCAAUUUUCCACGGUGUCUUUCACUUCUGUGACCUCUGUGAGUAGGUUCUUGUCAUUUGCAGCAUGACAAGUAGCGCCACUAUCCAACCACCACUCAGUAGAAAUACUAGCCUUUCCAAUUUUCAUCAUUCCAAUGAAAGCUUGAGGCUCAGAUUCACUAGUUAGCAUAUUAGCCUCACUUUGUGGUGUGUUAUUCUUUGGCUUCUUUGGUAGUCUACACUCUGCUGCCCAGUGACCCCAUUUUCCACAGUUAUGGCACUUUCCUUUCUUUUUCUUUUUGGAGAUAGUCUUUUUGACCUCUAGCUGUGAAGAAGAUUCACCUUUUGGUGACUUGGAUCUUUUCUGAGGUUUAUUGAAGUGUGAAACUAAGUUGGCAACUGACUUUUGUUGUCCUACUUGUUCUAAAUUCUUUCUAGUACUGUUUUGAUCCUCAAUGUGAAUAUACCUCUUUAAUUCAUCCAGUCCCAUCUGUUCUUUCAAUCUGUGCAUUUCAGUCUUGAAAGAAUUCCAUUCAGCAGGUAACUUACUCAAUACAAGACCAACAAAGAGAUUAUCAGACAUAUCAGAUUUAUCAUCUUUCAGCUUGUUCCUCAUGUUCUCAAGUUCAAUUAAUUGAGAGGUGAUACUUGAAUUCAUAUUGAACUUAAAGUCAAAAAAUUUCUCCGCUAGAAGAGUUUUAGAAAGCCCCUCUUGUUUUUGGAACUGAGCGUUCAAGUGAUCCCGUAUCUCUUUCGCUGUCUUAUUCUCACUAUAAGUCGUAGCUAGACGACGAUUUAAAGAGUUCAACAAGUAAUCUCUACAGAAAUUUUCAUCCUUGUUCCAUUGAUAUUCAUCCACAUUUUCAAUGGUAGAUGAAAAAUCACUCAAAACAGUGUAGAAUAUUUCACGUUCUUUCAUGCCAAAUUGAACAUAUAAUUUCCAACCAUGAAAUUCAGUAACAUCAAAUAAUUGCAAUUUUAUAAUAUCAAAAGAACUACGCUUUGCCAUUUAAUCAGAGCAAAGUGUUAGAAAGAGUGCACCUUGUAGUCCGCAGAUCUCGCAAAAUCGAAUAAAGCCCCUGAUCUGAAUCAAAGUGCUUUGUAGAGGUGGAAUUUGCCAAAAACAAACCCAAAAUUGGAUCCGUAGCGCCCAAAAACCUUAAGAUGAACUGCCCUCGUCGCCGGAAACUGCUGAAAACUUUCGAUGGUCGUAACUUCGUCGUCCGACCUCCGUUCGAGACGAGUAACCACUCAAAACGUUCGUAUCGAUGAGUAGAACAGAACCCAAGUGGUUUCACCCUCUGAAAUUGGCUAUAAUUUCUGGAUUUUUUGAAUCAAAGAAUUCCGCCGCCUGACCUUCAAACUCAGAUCCCGGCCAAUCCGAUCGUCGAAAUCGAAAAUAAAUUAUACCGGUGAAUUCGUCUUGACGAGAUCUUCGAAUCGACACCUUACUCGCUCAAAUCCAACAUAGGAUCGUAAUACUUUAAGAUUGUUGGAGGUUAGGGUUUUUGGGUGCUUAAAGUAUUACACCAAGAGACGUCAAGUUUGGAACGCUCAACAGUGUUACCUCCAGCGUAUGAAACCCUAGAUUUAAUAAAUAAGUUAUUGGGCUCCGGAAAUAUGGGCCUUAAUAUGCUUUCACUUAUUGGGCUUGUAUGUGAACAUAUUAUUUGGAUUAUAUUAUAACAAAAUAUUCAAUAACAAUAUAUCCAACAAGAGCUGCCUUGAAACAUUUCAAGAAUAUCUUGGAAAAAAGAGAGGCUUGAAACAUUUCAAGAAUAUCUUGGAAAAAAGAGAGGAUUUUCUUGAAAAUGAGCUGGUCUCCAGCCUUGGGAAAGAGCCAAGAAAAUAAGUGAUUGUCAUUUUUUAUUCGUUGAAAAAUGAGCCAUAUCAAUAUUCGUGGAAAAAAGCGCCUUAUCUGAAAAAUAAUUUUUUAUUCGUAAAAAAGAAAGGGAUUUACGGUGGAAUAGGCCUAUUCAAUUUUUUUAGGACGCGUGGCAAGGUCCCAUUGGCCCAUGCCUUAUGGCGGCUUCUUUUUUAAUUCGUAAAAAAGGAAAUGUCGUGUAUACUUUUUAAACUGUCAAUUAGUAUAUUUGGUAUGGAUAUUAGCUAAUUUUAUAUUUUGGAUUAAUAGUUAAAUUAAAAUUAUAAGAUAAGCUAGUGUGAUUAAAAUGGGGUGCCUUGGUGGUGGUUAAGCAAAAGAGCAAAAAAUCUCCUCUGCUUCGUCGCCUCCUCUCUCUCUCUCUCUCUCUCUCUCUCUCUCGUUGUAGAUAUCUCUCUCUCUCUCUCUUGCGUGGAAAUGGCGGAGGAGAAGGAUGUGGUGAAGCACGUGCUCGUCGCCAAGUUCAAGGACGAGGUCGCUCCGGAGAAGGUGGAGGAUCUCAUCAAGGGAUACGCCAAUCUCGUCUCCCUCAUCGAGCCCAUGAAGGCCUUUCACUGGUAAGAGUCGCGUUUCUUAAAUUUUUUUUAACAAUUAUUACUCUCUUUCGUCGAUCUGAACCUGUUUUAGGGCAUGGGUCUUGCUCAAAGUCGCUUUUUGGUUUGAUGGGUUGGUUGCGGAAUCCCAUUCCCAAAUACUUGAUGUGGGUUUGUGGUUAAUAUGUUUGUUUGAUUGAUGAAUAAUGGUUACUUUAUUUUUUAUUUUUAUUUUUUUUUUACAAUUACUACUCUUUUUCGUUGAUUUGAACCUGUUUUGGGGCAUGGGCCUUGCUCAAAAUCGCUUUUUGGUUGAUGGGUUGGUUGCGGAAUCCCAUUCCCAAAUACUUGAUGUGGGUUUGUGGUUAAUAUGUUUGUUUGAUUGAUGAAUAAUGGUUGCUUUAAUUUUUAUUUUUAUUUGCAAUUACUACUCUUUUUCGUCGAUUCGAACAUGUUUUAUUACAUGGGUCUUGUUCAAAAUCGCUAUUUGUGAUGUGGAUUUGUAGUGAUAUGUUUGAUUGCUUGGUUGAUAAUGGUUAUCUCUUUUUUUUGGGGGGCAAUUAUUACUCUUUUUCAUGGAUUUGAACCUGUUUUGUGACAUCACUGUUGUUCAAAAUCGCGUUUUAGUGUGGAUUUUUUUUUUUUGGUUGGUGGAGAAUUACACAAUUUUUGUGGUAACAUGCAUGUUUGAUCGAUUGAUUGGUAAUGGUUAUCUUUCACUAUUAUAUUACUCUUUUUCAUGGAUUUGAACUCGUUUUGUGACAUGGGUUUUGUUCAAAAUCGCAUUUUUUGGUGUGGAUUUUGAUCCGUAUAUAUUUUUAUGUGGAUUUAUGUGUUGGUUCGUGGCAAUAUGUUUGAUUGAUUGAUGAUGGUUAUCUUUUUUCUUAUUUUUACCUUUUUUUCCCCACUAGCAUUACUCUUUUUGAUUGAUUUAAACCAGUUUUGUGACAUGGGUUUUGUUCAAAUUAGAACUCCUUAUGUUUUUUGCGGAUUUAUGUUAAUUUUUGGUUAUUGUUGUUCUUAAUUGAUUCCUCAUGUUUAUAAAUUGAGAUGUUUUGAUGCAAUUUGUAGGAGUGGUGUUGUUUAGGUGCAAAAAUGUAGGGAUCUUUUAGUGGUUUAGUUUAACUCUCCAUCAUGUUCAAUGGUUGUGAUUACCACUUUGCAAAUCUCGAGUAAUCGGAUAUUUUGCGCUUAUUUAGUACUGUAAUGAUCCAACCCGCCAGCAAUAAUAACUCAUCGAACCCAAACCAUCGGUCCAAAAUGCUUAAGCCCAAUUAUUAUUAUUAGCGUUGAGGCCUCAUAUAUUCUAAUUAGAAUCGAUUUUUCAUCCGAUGUGGAACUAUUGGGGCGUUACAAGUACGUAGGAAAGGAUUUAAAGAACCACGAUCUGAAUUGUAUUCAACGACAUGAAUCUAUGGGUCCAAUGCCCUAGAAUUUACUGAAUAGGAAAUAUUAAGAACCAAGUUGUUGUAAAGAUAUUCUAGAAAGAUGCUGUGAUCUUCUAACUGCAGCGGUGUGCAAUUCACAAAAUGUUGGUUUAAAACAGGAUUGUAAAACAUUCCUAAUAGAACUUGUAAGAACUUCUGCUAUUUUGAACUUUCGACUGAUAAAAUUAGCUCAUUAUCUCCGUGGUUUUGGUGUGCACAUUCCAUAGAAACUAUUUUGAAGUUUUGGCAAUUGGCGGUCGAUUUCUCUCGUUUUGUUAUUCAUUUCUGUUUUCUAGUUAGCGAGAGCCUCUGUAGUGAGCGAGAACUUCAAAUUUACAAACAUCUUGCUCGUUGUUAUGUACAUACCGCAUAUUUGAUCUUUUAAUUAGCGAAGCAUACGUCACUGAACCGAGUUCUCGAGAGUUCCUAAUGAUUAAGAAGUGAAAGACCUAUUCGCGAACAACUCCGUUAGCUACUUAGUGUAAUCAAACUAUAUAGAUUAUCAUGUGCGGUAGAGGUUUCUUCAUCUUACAUUUGCUUGGAUAAUCAUGUGCUUAUCAGUGUCAAACAUUAAGGUGCGUAGUAAGAAAAUUAAAGAGGCUGCUUACAGGAGGAUCGAUCACGUUCGGAGAAUUCUGUCAGUUUACGAGGAGCGUAGUACGCGAUUUGCCUGUUUGGCUGUGCUGUAGGGUGUAGCUUUGUUCAAUAAAGUGUUGUUUCAGUAAUGCUGUUCGGGGAAGCACCUGUAGAUCGUUUUCAUAAAAAAAUCCAUCCUUGUAGCUUCCCUUUGCAGCUAAAGCAGAAGCUUCGGAUCGGAGCCUCUUUUUUUUUCGCUUCGCAUCACCGUAAAUUCUCCAAACUUCUCCGUAGAUGUUAUCAUAGCUUUUCUCUUUUGCUGAUAUGAAUAUGCUACUGCGAUUAUAAACGCAGGGGAAGAGAUGUGAGCGUGGAAAACAUGCAUCAAGGAUUCACCCACGUGUUCGAGUCGACUUUCGAAAGUCUCGAAGGGAUCGCAGAGUACGUUGCGCACCCGGCCCACGUCGAGUUUGCCAAUCGGUUCCUUCCUGCGCUCGAGAAGGUCAUCAUUGUCGAUUACAAACCAACUGCGGUCGAUCAACAGUAAGGCAAAAUCGACGAGGCGAGCGAGCGAGCGAACGACGUGUGAGAUAUCUUUCUUUCGAGGUGGAGAUCGAGAUUUGUCCGCGCCAGUAUCGGAACUUGUUUGUGGCAACUGUUCUUGCUUUGUUCUAUAAACUCUUGUGGUUUUGUACUUUCAGUUUGUGAGUCAUUGAACAAUGUUGUAACUUUGAGAUUGAGAAUGUUCACCUCACCAAUUCAUCUUUGAAUAUAUAUAUAUAUAUAUAUGCUGGAGAUUUAGAAUGUGAUUUGGUUCUAUUCUAUGUAAGCAACAACAAAAAUGAAAGUUAUAUUCAUGCCUUGUUCUUCGAUUCUUAUGCUUAAUUAUCAGAAUUAGAAGAGAAAAACUAGGCGCUCGAUAUAAGUACAAAAUGGCGGUGUAAUUAAUAAUUUCAAUCGAGGAAAGAGGUUGAUAAACAAUGUCGAAAAAAAAGUAGAGCUUAGAUUAUACUAUUAUGGAGUUUUGAGGAUUAAAAUAAGCACAUAUUUUUAUAUUAAGAAAGAAGAAAAAAAAAUUAAAAUAUAAGUACUCUCAAAACUAGAAUAAUUAGAAAGUUCAGGGGCUUUUUCAGUGCGAGAUAUUGUUGAGGGGUCUCCACGCAUUUUUACCCUUCGCCCUUCUCCUUCACUCCUCUAAAAACCCUAACCCUAACUGGUCGAAGAAGAAGAAGAAGAAGAAGAAGAAGAGGAGAAAUGCUCCCCAGAUGCUCCCCAGUAAUGUACCCCAAAAGGUACUUUCUCCCCGAAACCCUAACCCUAACUCUCCGUCGACGCUUCUCCCCAAACCCUAACCCUAGCGGCGACCCGGUGGCCGCGCUCCUCCGCAUCGUCACCACCUCCUCCUCCCCCGAAUCCAUGGAAUCGUCGCUGGAGAGCUCCCGCAUCCCGCUCUCCCCCGACCUGCUGGACUCCGUGCUCAAAAAGGUGCGCUUUUGCCACGCCAACCCCCUCAAAACCCUAGACUUCUUCCGCCUCGCGGCGAAGCAACGGGGCCUCUCCCCCACCCCCUUCUCCUACGACACCAUGCUCUACGUCCUGGGCCGGAGCAGGCGCUUCGGCGAGUCCUGGGCCCUGUUGAAGGAGAUGAAGCGCCAAGACCCCGCCUUGAUCACCCCCCGCACCGUCAUGGUCGUCCUCGGCCGCGUCGCCAAGGUCUGCUCCGUUCGCCAAACCCUCGAGAGCUUCAGGAAGCUCCGCAAGCUCUGCGCCGAGCUCGACACCCCCUGCUUCAAUGCCCUGCUCCGGACCCUCUCCCAGGAGAAGACCAUGGGCGACGCCCGCAACGCGUACCACAGCUUGAAGCACGAUUUCAAGCCCAAUUUGAGCACUUUCAACAUCCUCUUGUCCGGGUGGAGGUCGGCGGAGGACGCCGAAGGGUUCUUCGCGGAGAUGCGAGAGCUCGGGGUGCGGCCCGAUCUCGUCUCCUAUAAUUGCUUGGUCGAUGUCUACUGCAAGAAUCGCGACGUCGCCAAGGCCUACAAGGUGCUCGACGAAAUGCGCGAGAGGGAAAUGCGCCCCGACGUGAUCACCUACACUAGCUUGAUCGGCGGGCUCGGGCUCGUCGGCCAGCCCGAUAAGGCUCGCGACGUCCUGAGGGAGAUGCGGGAGCUGGGUUGCUACCCCGACGUCGCGGCGUACAACGCCGCCAUUCGGAACUACUGCAUCGCGAAGCGGCUCGGGGACGCCUUCGCGCUGAUGGAGGAGAUGCGCGGGAGGGGGUUGGAGCCGAACGCGACGAGCUACAACUUGUUCUUCCGGUGCUUCUACUGGGCGAACGAUUUGGUUAGCGCGCGGAGGGUGUACGAGAAGAUGCGGGCGGAGGCGUGCUUGCCGAACACGCAGUCCUGCAUGUUUCUCAUCAGGCUGUGCCGGAGGCAGGAGAAGGUUGAUCUGGCGCUCGAGCUCUGGAACGACAUGGUCGAGAAGGGGUUCGGGUCGUUCACGCUGGUGUCGGACGUGCUGUUCGAUCUGCUUUGCGACGCUGGGAAGUUGGAGGAGGCUGAAAGGUGCUUUCAUCAGAUGGUCGAGAAGGGGCAGAAGCCGAGCAAUGUCUCGUUUAAGAGGAUUAAGGUUCUUAUGGAGCUCGCGAAUCGGCACGAGUCGAUUAGUAGGUUGUCGGAGAAGAUGGCUCUCUUUGGACGAUCAGUAGUAGGUGAUGAUUCGUGCGAUGUAACAUCGUCGUCGGAUCCUGGAGUAAUGGCCGUUUAGUACGCCUUAUAAUUUUGGAUCCUGAUUAUGCGAGCGUACGCGAAACAUAAGCGAUGUUUGGAGGUUGCCGCCUCAGUGUUUAGGCGCGAAGAACUGCGUUGAGAUUUCUGCAGAGAAAAGCACCUCUUUGCUACUGCAUCAGCUUUGUACCAUAUUCAGUGAACUAAUAAUUUACGGAGGAGGAUUGAUGAUUCAGUGAACUAAUAAUUUACUGAGGAGGAUUGAUGCUCCUUGUUAGGAUCUUGAAUGAAUGUACAGUAUUGUAACUAAAUUAUUAGAGGAUUUGAUGCUGAUCCUUUGUAGGUUGUAUUAGUAUUACUUUUUUUGUUUUUUUGGUUUAUUGUAUAACCAAACUUAGGCUUUAGAUGUUGUUCAUACAACCAAACUAUAUUAAUACAUAGGAAUAUAACCAAACUAUGUAGGAGUAGGAUUAGUGUACUAUUAAGAGCAUGGAGGUUUCUGUACUCUUAAGUCGUUUUCGAUGCUGAACUUUUUAGAUCGAUGAUAAGCUCCGUCAGAUUUAAUAUAACGCAUUUUAAAAUAUCUAAAAAAAUUAAUUUAUAAUUAUUUUGACAUAAUUUAUUUAUUGAUUGAAAGGGUUUAAAAUUAAUAAUUUUUAAUGAUUGAUGCGUGCCAUUUAUAUAUUUAACAAUGUAAAAAUAUAUAAAUCAAAUAAAAUUUUAAUAAAAAAAAUUUUAUACUAUCUAUAACAAUAUCAAUAUUUUUGAUCAAAAAUUUUAAUAUUACAUCAUAAUUUUUUUUGAAAUUUUUAUUUUUAACCGUCCAUUUUUAGUAUUUUCGCUCAUUAGAUAAAUAAUAUUAAAAAAUCACAAAAUUUGUUUUCUUUAUUCUUCAAAUAUACUAAAUCGAAUCUAACAGAAUUGAUUGUCGAUUCGAAAGUUUAAUCAUCAAAAGCGGCUAUUAGGCCUCCGUACUUCUAACAGCACACAAUUCCUAUUCUACCGUAUAUGGUAAGAUAUAAUUUCUGCGAUUUUAUAAGAAAACACAGAAGAAGAAACAUGGUUGGUCAGGAAACAUAACUUUUUCUUAUUACAAAUUGGUCGAAUGCCGCUCAUCCAACUAUCCUCCACUUUUGUAAUCCUAUCCACUCUAAAAAUGAUUCGGUAGAAAAGAUAUUGGCUUGUUGGUAGAAAUUCAAUAUACAUGUUGGAUGCAGGGCAUUCAUAUCAUACGCCGCCUCUCUCCCUUACGGCCUUACCUUGGCUCGUGUGUGUUCGGCUCAGUUCCGAGCUCAAUUAGGCUUUAAACGAAACUUAGUUAGAACAUAAAUUUUGGCUCGAUCUGAUUGACUCAGCUAAAAUAAAUUUCAAUUCAAGCUCAGCUUAGGCUUAAUUUGGUAUUGAGGCCUACCUGACACUAUUAUGGGCCGUUUGGUUAGAUAUAAUUAUAAAAAUAGUGUAGUUGGAAAUGCUACAGUCAUAACUACACCUAGUCUGUUUGAUUUUAUGCAGUCACAACUACUACAGUUACAUUUCUUCUGUUUGGUAGUCUGCAGUUGAAAUUUGUAUUUGUAAAAUCUAUCAAUUUUUAGAUAGAUAUGUGAGAAUACCUCUUCUGCGCAUAACGUAAUCAUGUUUUAAUUAUUAAUUAAGACUUUUAUAUCUAUAUAUAAUUUAUAUAUUAUAAAAUUAUUUAUGAAUUUAAUAAAUUUUAAAUGUAAAUAUAUUAUAAAUUUGGUCAAAAUAAAAAUUAAAAUAUUAUUAAACUAGCAGACUGGAAAAAAAAAAUGUAUGAAAAAAAAAUCACACUUUGUUUAUAUUUUUAAAGGAUAAGCCGACUCUGGCUCAAUUGCUGCAGUUGAGCCUUCUCGUGCAGAUACAACUGCAGCAGUUGGAUCCAACUACACCAAACCAAACAAAAGAUUAAUAGAUGCUUGCAUUUCCAACUGCAAUGCAGUUGAAAAUACAUGCAACCAAACAGCCCCUUAGAUAAAAUAGAGUAAGGGUAAAAGCAUAAAAGGAUAUGCUUCUACGUUCUCUGAUGAUACCGUAGAAAAUAUUCAUAACCGACUCCUCGCGAUAUACGAAACGCAAUAUUACUUACGAAAGCAGAAAAAAUAUUUUUUUUUCGUACUUUUUCACCGCACGUAACACAAUCUCUGCGCAAAUCCAAACGAAGCCUUAGUUCCACCCCUACUCCUCUUACCCUAAGUAAUAAUGCAGAUCUAUUUGAGGCGGCUACGGUGCGACGCUUUCGCAUAUUGAGCACAUAAUAGCCAUCUAAUUAGCACCGAAACCAUUAAGCAAUCACAGACAUUGCCCAUAUGAUGAUUAAACAACUAAGUUGGUGUUUGCAUGCAAGUCCUUGGAAAACCUUAUACGGGCUCUACCCAAAACUGACGAAAGUAAUAAUACGAGAGAAAUGAGAUGAAUAAAAAUAGGAGCUUAGAAUUGAAAUAGUAUUUGAUGUAAACAGAGAACAUCCAAAUAAGAAAACAAAUUCGAGAUUGUUAAGUCUUUUGGGACUAGAUAGCGAUAAAUUCAUCGGUCUGUAAAAGGUAACUAACUGUUGGGGGAAGAGCUCUCUCGAAGACUAAAACAUAAUAUAUUUGAUUAGGAAAGCGCACCGGAAUUUCCUGCUCGGCUCCGAGAAGAUGUAACAACAACACCAGCAAACUUUUAAGCCUGCACGGAAAAAAAAAAAGAGAGAGGAAGAAAGAGUGAUUAGCAUAACAAAUAGAGCAAGACAAGUUAAAAAGAAAUAGAAAUGAACCUCUGCAUAGGAGGAACCAAUUGUUUGAGAAAACAAAUUGCGACAAAUUGAAGUGCAAUAGCAAAUGGUGUAAAUUUUAUCAAGAAAGAAACUAAUCGCUUGCGAAUUCUCACCUUGUUAGCAAUGUUGUUGGAGAGCCAGUCCAAACCUUCGUACAAACCUUCUCCGGACGUAGCACACGUGCUCUGGAUGUACCUGAAAGCAAAGCGACAAAGACGCCAAAUCAUAAUGCCCUCAACAAUUGUAUAAGUUGUCCAAAUCUUCUAAAAUGCUUCUCAAAACAUCAAAACGUGAACCACAAAGGAAAAAGAAAAAAGAGGCAGCGAAAAUUGUUGCGGGGGCCUACCAGUGGCGCUGGCGGAGGGAAUGAAGGCCAAGCUUAUCAGUGAUCUCCGCGGCAUUCAUUGCAUUGGGAAGAUCUUGCUUGUUGGCAAAGACGAGAAGCACUGCAUCUCUCAGCUCAUCCUGACGAGCCAAUGAUACAAAUUGAUCUCCAAAUAAAUCAUCUUAUUUCCAGCUCCUCAAUAAUCUGGACAAAUCGAGGAAGCAAUGACAUAUUGUUUACCUCGUUAAGCAUCCUGUGGAGUUCAUCUCUUGCUUCAACGAUACGGUCCCUAUCGUUGCUGUCGACCACAAAGAUCAGACCUUGUGUGUUCUGGAAGUAAUGCCUCCAGAGGGGGCGGAUCUGAUAACAUUGGUAAAAUAUGCAGAAGAAUCAAUGCAAGCAACAACAAAGUAUCAGAAAAUUUCUUCCAUAUAAGGCACUGUAAUUGAUAGCAACAUGAUGUGGAAAAUCAAAUUAGAUUAGAAAUAAAAUGACAUGUAUAACCAACCAGAAGCUUCAAGAACACUCCCCCCAGGAAAAGCCAUCACAAUGAAAGCUAACACUGACUGCGUAUAGAACAGCAUUUGAAGUGAUUUCCCAGGGAAGAAAAAAAAAAGAGGAAAAUUCAGCUAAUCUAACUUAACUAAUGCGAGACUUUAGCCUAAUCUAUCCCGAACAUUUAAUGACGAUACACUAAUUUGAGCUACAUCACUGUUGGACCAGAAAACUUACACCUCCCCCCACCAAAGAAAAAGUAACUAAAUAGAGCUUUAGUACCACGACAGAUGUAAUUAGUGCAACCAUGUGAAAGAAAACUUGAUACUCAAUAAGGUCAAGCCAUCAAGGGUGAAAAAACUAAAUCCUGAUUACUGCCUAAUACAAGGAAAUUAAACAUGUGAUGGUUUGUAGGAAUUGCACAUUUACGCUAUCUCACUACCUCCUUCCCCAUGAAAAAGGUUGUGCAAGAAUUCGUGUGAUCCACAGAAAAAAUUGCACAAAACAAGGGAAAAACAUGACAGGAUAUCCAUUUUAUAUAACAGGUUUAGCAUAAACUAGUAAACACAUCUAAACGCAAACCUAAAAAAAACCAACAAAAGAAUGCAUACCUUGUCUUGGCCACCAACAUCCCAAACAGUAAAGCUGAUGUUCUUGUAUUCAACUGUCUCAACGUUAAAUCCUGGCAAGAAGCCAAAUAACAUAACUCAAUCACUUACAAGAAAAUAGACUAGACUGAUAAGACUAUAGUUUACCAUUAACUACGAAGUGAAUUCAAAUGAGCGAGCAAACAUGAGGAAUUUAGUCGAUAGCAUAGCCUGAAAAAGGUGUGCCACAGAGGCAUGCCUUGGUGCCCAGGCUUGAAGCACGAAAAUGGAGCCCAUGUGUGCAUCUCGGUACAAGCACAAAGCACUAAUAAGGGACGCUUAACUAGGAUGUGAAAUCCAAGUUUUCAACGUGGGUUUCAAAUGUGCGACAAAGGCAAAAAAACUAGAUAUGGGUUUUGAAUACUUAUAGCUAAGACGAAGGUUUCAGGUAAUUUGUGAUUUUUAGCAUCCAUGACGAACCAACUAGCAUCACUAAAGCAAUUUGUUUAUUGUUGUAAUUCAGUUUUAAACUACACUUUUUAUUGAAUCUUACUUAAGGUUUGUUUAUGAUAAGAUUGAUAGUAGCAUAGAUAAUUUCAUGAGUAUUUAUUUUUCAAAAUGUAAAUGCAAGGCUCAUCUUCAUCAAGCACACCCCUGGCACCUUGUGCCUAGGCUCCAAGCUUCCUCGCACAUUGGUGUGCCUCCUUGCCUUUUAAAGGAUAUCGAUGAGACUAAUAUAGGUGGUGUAAAGCAUGAGAAAGUAUGAUCUCCAUUAUGACUGCAUUUUCAUAAUUUCAUUGCAGGUAAUCCAAGAAGGAAAAAAAGAAAAAAACAACUCCCAAGUUUUCACGGGUUUUGGAAGCUGAAAAGCACAUGUUUUUGCAGUCUUAGUAAUUAGCUGCAAUAUUUAACCAUGCAGGAAAAUUGCCAACCAAGGGGCACUAUCAUUUGCUUCUGUGCAGAUGAGUCAGAUGAUAGAAGAAACCAAACUAGGUUUCUACGGUUUUACGAAGAAUAGUGAAGGGAAAAAUUGGCAACUUAUCUAUUGUUGAAAAACAUACCAAUUGUUGGAAUGGUGGUCACAAUCUCGCCCAGCUUCAGCUUGUACAGGAUGGUGGUCUUACCAGCAGCAUCGAGACCCACCAUAAGAAUUCUCAUCUCCUUCUUGGCGAAAAGCCGACUGAAGAGCUUUGUGAAUGAUAGCCCCAUCUUUGCCCUAAUCAAGAGGAAAGCAACUGAAGAUCACCAAUAUGGACUCUAAAUGAAACAGAUUAAAUAGGCAUAAAAAACUAAAACAGCAGGCUCUCCUGAACAAAGGAAAAAGUUACAUCCUUAUGGAUCAACUUGUGGACCAAUAAUGAUGUCAAAAACCUAACUUAUAUAUAUGUUGCCAAUGUCAAACAUGCUUAUAUUCCGCAUUACAUAGACAGUCAACACAAAUAUAUACAUACAUACAUACAUACAUACAUACAUACAUAUAUAUACAUACAUACAUACAUACAUAUAUAUAUAUACAUACAUACAUACAUACAUACAUACAUAUAUAUAUAUAUAUACAUACAUACAUACAUACAUACAUAUAUAUAUAUAGUAGGGCUAGAAUACUUGUAAAAGUAUCAUGGGGGUGAUACUUGUGUGUUUUUAGUCCUUGGAUGGAGAGAUGUGAGGUUGAGAUGAUGAUGGUAGGUGGUGAUAGGUGGUGGUAGGUGGAAUAGUGUUUAAUCUAAGGACUAUUAAUAAUCAAAAAGUAGAUCCAAUGACUUAAAACCUAAUAGCACCAUAAUGAUGAUACUUGUAAAAGUAUAAUAGCUCAACUCUCUCUCUCUCUCUCUCUCUCUCUCUAUAUAUAUAUAGAGUAGGGCUAGAAUACUUGUAAAAGUAUCAUCGGGGUGAUACUUGUGUGUUUUUAGCCGUUGGAUGGAGAGAUGUGAGGUUGAGAUGAUGGUGGUANCUAAAUUUAUUCGAAUUUUGAUAGAAAAUACUUUAAAUUAUCUAGAUCGGGGCCAGCAUCUUUGAUCUUGAAUUCAAAAAUGCUAUCCUCAAAAUUUAAAAAUUGUUCAAUUUUCACCAUUCUUUUUUGGCAUGAUUUACUUACUAAGUAAACGAUAUUGAAAAAAAAUUAAAAUAUUAUUUCUAAGAACUCCAUAUACCCUAGAUCAUAUUUAACUGUGAAUCAUUGAUUUGAACACUCUAAGAUCGAAAAUGUGACUACUAUAUAUAAUGAAUAAAUCUAAAUCCUCCUAACCUCAGGCACCAAUAGGUGCUCGAAUUCGCUUUCGGUCAAAUGCCCACUCCUUGAUCGAAAGGUUAGGUAUUUGAUCCAAAGGAUCUACCAAAGGGUGGAAAGUAAUAGACAUACUAUCUCGAUCCAAAUCUCAAACAUAUCCUUCAAAAUUUUGAACCCUUUUGAGGUUCCAAACAAUCAGAUAACAUGAUUUGCAAUCAUCUGCAGGUAAAUAACCUAGAUCCAUAGCAAAUACAAUUUAUGUUCCAAAAUGAACCAACAGUAAAUCACCUGACAUCCUAGAUCAAUCAAAAUGAUCAAAACGCCCACAUAACUUAUACGAAAUGGAGAAUAAAAUGAGCAAAUCAAACAGAUCAAGCCCUGAUCCCACCCCCAAAUCAUCUCCCCAUGUACAAAAACCUAAAUCACCGCACCAAAACGAAACCGAUCACAUCACAACUCCUCGGAUCUACAACAAUAUCGAAUAAAUCAGCAACAAUUACCCAAAAUUACCCCAAAAUCACCAAAUCCAACCGUUUCACCCCAAAUCAAACCAGAUCCACGAAAACCUAAACGGUAGAUCCAAAUCCAAAGCAAAGAGGAAACGAAUCGUAGAGAGAAAGAGAGAGAGGAGAGACGCUUACCGCGAGAGAGAGAGAGAGAGAGAGAGAGAGGAGCUCCACCACCAGAUCUUUUAGAAAGAGAGAGAGAGAGGGGGAGGGGUCGUGUAUUUAUCGGAAACGGAGAGUAACGGCGCUUCGGGUCGCCGUUAGUGAGAAACGGAGAUCCCGUGGUGACGCCGUUAAGCUUCGCCGUUAAGUUCGAGGUGGAGUCGCGUAGCGCCGGCCGGGUUGAACGAGUGGCAAAUUCGGUCAACGGAAGGUCGGUGUAUGGCAAGUUGUAAAAUAAAAAUUCGCUGAACCGGGUUCAUCCGUACGUUAUGUGCACCGAACGCUCUCAUCCACCGUUAUUAUCUCAUACUUCAAUCUCGACCGUCCAACUCCAACAACUGGGCCUUCGACGGGUGAAAAAAAUGUGGCUUUUUUUUGAAAUUGGAUGCUCACUUCAUUUUGUUAUUUUUAUUUUUACUUUUCCAUUGAUAUUUACCUAAAUAAAUUGAUGAUUCUAUUAAGUUCUAAUAAUUUUAACUAUUUGAGACAAAUUAUAUUUUUUUUUAAAAAAAAUACAGCUAAAAACUAAUAAAAUUAUUAAAUUUACCAGAUUAAUUGCUCACUGGUUAUGCUAUUAUUAAAGUUUAAACCAUCUUAAAAGUUUCUCCUGGAUAAGUAGAUUCAAUGCUUUAAUCUCUAAAUGUAUAGUGUUAAACACUAAUUAAAUUUAGUCAUUAAACUAAGGCCCUCAAUAAAAGAAUAAUAACACUAAACACAUAUUACUAUUACUGACCGUUCCUAACGCAAGUGACAAAGAAUUCGGUGAUUGAUACUCGAGUUCUCAAGUUCGAAUUCUAAUUAAUUCACAUUUUUAGCUAAAUUUAUUUCUCAAAAAUAAACGAACUUUGUAUUAUACCAGUCGCUGCGAUUUUACCUUUUAAAAAAAAGUGAUAAAUAAUGCAUACAACUUACAUACACGAGAAAACGAUAACUGAUUCACUGCUCUUCUUCCGUUAUGUAUAGUUUUUAUUUUAUAAUCUUUUAUAAGAAAAUAAAAUUAUAUAGGCUUUGAAAUGAGUGCGUGCACAACUAGCAUGCACAUGUAGUAGUUGGAAUCAUGUUUGUGUUUUGCAAAUCAUGUUGAUGUUCCUUUCAUAAGCAUAAACAAAUGAGAAGUCAAAAGACAUGACAUGUUACUAUGUUUGAGAAAAAUAAUAAUAAUAAUAAUAAUAAUAAUAAACACAAAUGCAAAGCAACACAAAAUUUUGUGGAAAGGGUUAGUUACAAACAUAGUUCAUCAACUUUGAUCCAGAUUUUGAUGGUAUGUUUAAAACUUUUAAUUGUGACAAAUUAGUUUCUAAUGUUUACCUUCAAUUUUAAUUUCAUUCUUACAGUUUUCAUGACCCUGAAAUUUGACUCAGAUUUCAAUUUCAUCCCUAAGCAAAACAUCUGAUUAACUUUCAUAAAAAGCAUUGAUCAGAAAAGCACUUAAGUGUUACGCAAAACAAACUACGAAAAGUAAAAUUUUAAAUUAAAUUAUGCGAAAGAAAUUCGAAAGAAGCUAAAAGAGUAAGGAAAUGCAUCUCCAAGCAACAACUGUUAAAAAACACAGCAAAAAGAAAUGGAGAGAAGAGAGGGUCACAGUUAAAGGAAGAGAGAGAUUUAAAGAGGUAAAAAUGAAUCAUCAAAAAAGAGAAAGCCUUGAAGAUUUCACAUUAGAUAAACUUAUACACCGCCGCGGCCCGAGCGCGAGUUCUGUCACAAGUUAUAAAUAUCGCAGGAAAGAGGCGAAAAAUCUGAACAGCAGGCAGAGAAAUUACCUAUAAAUACAAUCUACAUCCGAAAUCCAAUUCAGUGAUCUAUAUACCUGAAAAUGUAGGGGGGGCAAAGAGAAAACUCAGACAAAACCUUCAGUUUCGGGCACGGGGGGCAGGGGCGGGGGCAGGACGGGCUGGGAUCAUGAGAUUGAGCUGAAGCUCUCGAUGGGAUCCGACUCUUCCAGCAUCGACGCGGCUUGGAAGCAGUCCGCGGCAUCGGCCACCCUCCCGUCGUCUCGAUGGACCAUUCCCAAGUAGUACCAGGCCAUCCGAUUUGUCGGCUCGAGCCUUAGGGCGUCGGAGAGGAAGCUCCGAGCCACGGGCAAGGAUUUCGGUCCCUGUUUUAGCAGAAAUGAGCCGAUCGAUACCUUGCAUUGGACGUGGUCGAGCUCGAUGGAGUGCGCGUUGGUGUAAGCUGCCAGUGCGUCACGGGCCUGAUCGCGGGCUUCGUGCAUCGAACCUGGUUUUUUUUUUUUUCCCCAAAAGCAUAUGGAACAAUCAUAAUUAGCAAAUUAAUAUAACUGGGUGAAGAGAGCUGCUAUUUAAUGUAAAACUUGACCUUAGAGUUGGCAUUUUGAGUAUCAAAUGCAUUGAAUUGAUCAGCUUUCUAAUUGAUUAUUGUUGAAACUUUAAAGGGUUCUAAAUUCACAUCGGCAUAAAACAUAAAUAAUUGCUUGUCAUAUUGAUAACGGCAAUCUUAAGUGAUAACGGGAACUAUUUAGAACCAGUUUUGCUCUUUUUCCGAUAAUAUUCCGUCUCAAAAACUCAAAUCUCUUGAAGGUUUUCAUGAAACCAAAGGAAAAAAGUGAUAAAAUUAAUUCAUAAGUAUUUUGAGAACUUUUCUUAACUAUAUGUUUAGAGAAAAACCAAUUUAUGAACAGAUGUCCUUGUUCCUUACCUUCAGUGUGCAGUAUAGCAGCGGAAUAGGGCUUCAGUGCGCGAGCCUUCUCCAAGCAUAUCUCAGCAUCUUUCCAAUGUGAAAGACUUGAAUAUAGGUUAGCGAGACCGUGCCACACUUCAAACUCGCUCACCUUAUUGUCCUCAACCUAAAAAAGAUACCAGAGAAGUAAAAUCAGCAUAAGAAAGAUUACAUCUGCAUAUUGGCAUAUGAGCAACAAAUGAUCUUCGUUUCAGCCUUACUGCGCUCUCUUUGAAAAUUUAAAAAUCAAAAAUUAGGUUCAAAAGUAAUACGUAAAAAGUUAGAACAAUAGAGAAUAACUUUAGAAGGUGGAGGUUUAAAAAUGAGUAAAGCAAAUAUAUGGAAUACACAAUUAGUAACAUUAGGUGAGAGGAUAAGAGUUUAAUUAAGAUUAAUGAGAAAAGACAAAUCUAAAUGUAAGAAUUUUUCCUAUCUCAGGUGUAUUGCUCGAAACGGCAGAGAUGUUGAGGGAGAUAUAUGUUAAAUGAUUAACGCCGGAUGUAUGAAGUAGAAGAGUUCAGGCGGAGACAUUCAAAAGAAGCCAAUAUGCAUGCUAUGGUACCUUUCGGCUAUUUAGAAAUAGUGCAUCCCACAAGAGGAAGAUCACAAUUGAAAUGAGAAUGUUAAGAUGUUAGAAAUGAAGAUAACAGCUCUUAAAGUGACAAUAUCCCCAAAUGGAAGCAAAAUAACCAGCAACCGUUUGAGAUUAUAUAGACAUAUACAAUGAAGAGAUGCAAAAGCACUAAUAAAUGAGAAGAUCCAAUUGGAUUGUGGAAGAGUAGACAAAGGCCUAAAGGAGUAGGAAUAAUUUAUUCAUUACGAAUUUAAAAGGGAUUGUUCAGGCUAGGAGCAAGUGACAUAGAAACAAACAAAAGAUUCAAAGAUUCAUACAGAAAUCUGACUUUAAUGCAUCUUUAAGGAUUCAUGUGGUUAAGUUUCACAAUAAGAAAUAUAUUAACCUUCAGAAAAAGGCCGCAAAAAACAAUAUUCUAGCCAAAUAAAUGGCAGAUAAUUUUAUUAUAAGCACAAUACUAGAUGAGAGAGCAGCUAAAAGUGUAUUAGAUGUCAAAAAUAGAUUUUGUGAGCAAGCAAUCCAAACCUCAGCACUGCUUUUGAAAGAUCCAGAAGACUUUCUUUGGGCCUGAACAAGAGCAAGGAGGAAUCGAUAUGCUUCGACUGCAUCCAUAGGCGAGGACUGAGCCACUUUCAAUUUAGCCUUAAUUCUAAGGAGCGGCCCUUGCGCCCACUUUGCGGUCUCAUCUAGUGCAGCAUCAGUAACAACUUCUGCUUCUGAAUAUCUUUGCUGAGCCGAUAGAACCAAAGCCAGCAACCUCCAGCCUUUUAAAACCGAUCCACCCGUUGCUUCAAUACAUUCCUUGGCACAAUUUAGAGCAGCAUUUGUGUUUCUCUGCUCAGCAUAUUCAAGCCCCAAAUCAAAAAUCAAAUCUGGGUUUUCACGAUCGAGAUUCAUUGCCUCAUCUAAUGACUUCAGAGCUUCAGCUUGCAAGCGAGACCUUUCAUGGUCAGAGGAAGCACGUUUUGACUUUUUCCCCAAGCAAUUUCCUAAGAAGCGGAGGCCUACACUCUUCAGAUGCUCAUCUGCCGCUUCGGCUUUUGCAAUAGCUCUUUGUGCAUAUUCUACUCCCUCAGAAGCUAAAACGCAAUCCUGACUACAAAUCUUAGCAGCCAGCAAUAAUGCCAUUACAUCAUCUGGGCUUUCGUGUCUGUUUAAACACUUCCUCAAUAAAUUCAAAGCAGUUUCAUUUUGAUUUGCUCCGCUAUAGCAAAGAGCUAGAGUAUACCAUCUCUCAGUGCGAGGAUAUGUUCCAGGAAGUACUUCUUCAAAGUGCUUUGCCAAAACAAAAGUUUGGCCACAUAUAGAUAGUGCAAAAGUCAAAUGCUCCAUCAUCGACGAAUCCCAUUGGAUCUUCCCAAGGUACCAUUUUCUUAACAAUAUCAUUAGGAGUAAGAUAGCCUCCUCCAAAUUGUUCUUUGGAAUAAAUGAACCCUCGACUUGAGAAGCCAAACUGGGCGGCCUAGCCUCUACACCGCCAUAUAGCAAAAACACAGCAAACCUUUUCUGAAUCCUCGCACAGCAUUCAUCGUCGAGAUUCCAUUGACUGAGAAGAGCGCGCCUGUAAGAAGCUAGAGCUUCCUGAUAAAGCCCGGCCUGUUUCCAUAGCUCUGGAAGGAGCUCUACAGCCUUACUAACAGUUUCCUGUAAUUUCUGCUCAACCAUCACAUCAGGUAUGCCAUGUUGGAAUAUCUUUUCCACAGCAUCGAGAACACUUUUACAUUCUUGGGCGGCUUCUGCAUAAUUUAGUAAUCUUCUCCGUUUAAUAAAGUCUAUCCUCUAAACAAAAGACAAUGUAAGAGGACACAAAAAAAGCCUUUUUUUAUACAUAUCCCUCUAAAAUCUGAAUUUUAGUAUAUCCUCUCGGACGUGCAACUUUUUACAAAAAAUAUCCUUCUCAUACGUUGGGGAAGUCAGCUGAUUUAGUAGGAAAUUAUGUUUGUGAAGGGAACAACUCAAAAUUAAGUUUUUACAGGGAUAUAUAUGUAAACAAAAGAUUUCCAGGGGGCACAUAUGUAAAUCCUUCAAAGAUAAUACAUACCGUUGGCUUUGCCAAGCUUUUGAAGGGACAUGGACUUCAGGUAAAUGGCUUCAAGAACAAGGCUAGCAGCAUGCUGAGACACCGAAUGCAAUGAAUCUGAACCUGAAUGUGAGCGGCUCCGCCUAGAGGAAGGCUUUUCAGAAAGAGAAGGUUGCAAACGCUGAAUGGCAGCUUGAAGAUCAAUUCCAUCAAACACUCGAAGAGCAGCUUCUACAUUGCCUCUCUGAUAUUCCAGCCUUCCAAGAAGUGCUCUUGCUUCCUUCAAAUGUUCGAAGAAACAACAUGAGGAAAAUUGAGUAGGUCGCAUAUAAAUUCACAACGAAGAUAAAAGAUAAUCAUAUACAGUGGCCCCAUACUUUUCAAUCAUACAAGAGUAUAAUUUGUGACUAGUAACCAAUGCAUUUGUUAGCGCAAGCAUGAGCAUUGAAAGCAACUAAAAUAGAGAAAACAAAUAGCGCACGACCUGUCCUCAAAACAAACUCGCCUGAAAUAGACUGGAAUGGAAACCCAAAACAUACUAAAACGACCCAAAAACUACACCACCUAUCUCGAGAACAGCUUCCAACCCACCCCUCAUUAUCAAGAAAAUGAGGAAAAGAGAGAGACGACAAGGAACAAAUUUGGAGGAGAAAUGGCCGGCCCUUUACAAUCAAAUAUUGCAUAUAAUGAUAUAAAUAGUCCAAUGAGCGUUUGACGAAAGGUUUAACAAGCCAUUUGGCUUGGUUCGAAGUUUACACACUAACACAAAAAGAAAAAUCAUAUAUUUUCAAAGUAGUAAUUGUUCCCUUCACAUAACCUUCUAAAUUAAAUUUAUUUUUCCUUACCUGCUAACGAGAAAAUAUAUAAACACGCGCCAGCACAUGUAGAAGAAGUUCACCCACAAAUUACCCAAUGACUAAACUGUGUCUUAUUGAGAACUCUCCAUGACAAACCAUCAAAAUAACAUUUGAUAUAGGCAACCAAUGUCAAUUACCACAAUCAAGCUUCUAAUUAUUCAUGAAUGAAGUUUUUUUCGGUUUUUUCCUUCCCAAUACAUACUCAUAUAGACAUCUCUCACUACAAGAACACAUUUUUACCCUUGUUUUCCAAAUCCAAAUUAACAGCAUUUAAAAUCAUGCAAUUACCAAAGAGCACUAGAUACAACACUAUUACUUGAAUCAAAGAGAAGAUUCCCUUUAGAUUACAUUUGCUGCAUAGCUUAAAAAAAAACCAUUUUUGUUGAGCUACAAACUAUCAUAAGCAAGAUCAAAAUGCCAUUUUCCACAACAAAACAAUCCCCAUUUCUCCAGGUAACAAAAAAACAAAAACAAAAAACACAACAAGAAGAACGUCAUCAAACACAACACCAUCAAAUGCUUCACACUUUUUCUGAGAGAAAAACAAAAAAAAAAAAAAAAAAAAACUAACAAACACUAGAAUCAAUCACAUUGCUAUAAUUCCCAUCACUAGUAGGAACAACAAUCCACAACAAAAAUAGCAUCAUCAUCAUCAUCAUCAUCGGCCCCAACAGAGAGAGAGAGAGAGAGAGAGGGAGACCUCGUAGUUGAGGGAGAGGCCCUCGCGGAGAGAGGACUCGGCCUCCUGGAUGUUGCCCUCGUCGAGCUUCGCCUCCACCUCGGAGGUCUUCAUGGAGAGGCCAUUCACCGACACCACAUCCUCCUCCUCCCCCGCAACUCCCCCACCCCCACCACCUCCGCCAUCUCCGCCGCCCUCAAACCCCAUCGCCGCCGCCACCGCCGCCGCCGCGGACUACGAGCAUCCGAUCACGAGAUCGGGGUAGUUAGGGGUGGAUCGGGGGAGGGGUGGGGUUAGGGUUCGAGGUGGGGAGCUCACCAUGGAUGGGGAUGGGGAUGGGAAUGGUAAUGGGGGAGGAGGGGCGGUGACGGGAACGAGCGGGGUGGGGAGAGAGCGAGAUCCAAAGAGUUAGGAACCCCUCUCUCUCUCUCUCUCUCUCUCUCUCUUACACACGCACAGGUUAAAAAUAAAUAAUAAUUUUUAAAAAAUAAAUAGAUGGAUAAAUUGCAGGAAAACCCCUGUAUAAAUAUAUAUUGUAUCUUACCCCUCUCUCUCUCAUACAUACACAAGUUAAAAAUAAAUAAUAAUAAUAAUAAUAAAGUAAAUAGGUGAAUAAAUUAUAGAAAAUCUUCCUGUAUAUAUAUAUAUAUAUAUACAUUGUAUUUUUAGCCCUCUAUCUGUCAUACACAAGUUAAUAAUAAAUAAUAACAAUAAUAAUAAUAAUAUAAAAAAUAAAUAGAUGGAUAACUUGCAGAAAACCUUCCUCUAUAAAUAUAUAUAUAUAUAUAUUGUAUUUUACCCCUCUCUCUCUCAUACAGAAGUUAAAAAUAAAUAAUAAUAAUACUAAUAAAAUAAAUAGAUGGAUAAAUUGCAGAAAAAUAAAUAAUAAUAAUAAUAAAUAGAUGUAUAAAUAUAUAUAUUGUAUUUUACCCCUCUCUCUCUCUCAUACACAAGUUAAAAAUAAAUAAUAAUAAUAAUAAUAAUAAUAAAAUAAAUAGAUGGAUAAAUUGCAGAAAACCUCCUAUGUAAAUAUAUAUAUAUAUUGUAUUUUACCCCUCUCUCUCUCUCAUACACAAGUUAAAAAUAAAUAAUAAUAAUGAUAAAAUAAACAUAUGGAUAAAUUGCAGAAAACCUCCUGUAUAAAUAUAUAUUUUGUAUUUCAAUUCUCUUAUAGGCCUGGGAAAAUCUUUUAAAUCUUAAUUUUCUGUCGCGUACUAGUUUUGUUUUUGUCUUCAGAUUCUUUGAAUGUUUUUUAAUACUAAAAAUUAAAAAUAAUUCUUUAAACUCUAAAGGAAAGAAUUGUAAGACUCGGAUAGAGACGAAAACAACAAUGAAGCAUCGUUGGCGAGCUUCUCACUGAAGUUUUUUUUUUUUUUUUUUUUGGGGUUCCUUAGGCUUUGUCUAGAUAUUGGAAUAAGUUGUAGAUAAAAACAUGCAAAAUUUACUUGAAUUAUGGACUAUUUUGAAUCGGCUAUCUAAUCUUUUAAAAUUUUAAUUUUAUUACCUAAUCUUUCAAUCUGUUUGAUUUGAAUCAAUUAACAGUAUUUUGGCUUCAAAAAUUAAGCUAAUUACUUACUUUCAUAAAUUUAGAUGUUAGCCGGUGGCCAACCGUUUGAAAUUUUGAUUUUUUGCUAUCCAAAUUUUUAAUCUAUUUGAGUUGAGUCAGUUAAUGUUACUUUGACUUCAAAAUUUAAACUAAUUACUUUUUACUUUAAUAAAUUUAGAGUUAUGAAAAUUGUAUGAAAUAUACUAAGUAAACAUGUGAAGAUAAACGACGCAUUUAUUUAAAAUUUAAAAUAAAAAUGCCACUAACUGACUGAAAUCAAACAAAUUAAAAGGUUGCGUAGAAAAGUCAAAAUUUUAAAAAGAAAAAACUUCAAAAAACCCCCUAUGGUUUUGCACUUUUUCAUUUUAGUGCCCUAUAGUUUAAAGUGUACCAAGUUAGUACCCAGUGGUGUCGCACUUUCUCACUUUAGUAUCAUAUGGUUUAAAGUGUAUCAAGUUAGUACUAUGUGGUUUUUAUUUUUGUUUCAAGUUAGUACCCUGUGGUUUUAUUUUUGUAUCAAGUUAGUACCCCGUGGUUUUAUUUUUCUCUUAAUAAAAUAUUAAACCACAGGAUACUAAAGUGAGAAAAUGCGAAACCGCAGGGUACUAACUUGAUACACUUUAAACCAUAGGGCACAAAAAUGAAAAUGUGCGAAACCACAGGCUACUAACUUGAUACAUUUUAAACCACAGGAUACUAAAAUGAGAAAAAGUAAAACCACAAGAGGGAUAUUUGAAGUUUUUUCUUUAAAAAAAUUAGAUAGUCGAUUCAAAAUAAUCUCCAAUUCAGAUAAGUUAUAUAUAUUUUUACUGAUAACUUAAUGGGAUGUUUGGUUUCUCAAAAAAAAAUAGAAUUAUUUUUCAAAAAAAAUGAGUUUUAUGGAAAAAUUUUAUUUCUAUAGUCUUUGUUAUUCGGAUAAAAAAUUUAGAAAACUAAAAGGAGUCUUUUUUAUGAAAUCAGAAACUAUUUUUUUUUAGACAACUAACGGGCGAGAAAUACUUUUCUAAUUAGAAAAUUAUUUUCUAGAUUUUUUUUUUUAACAGAAGCAAACACGCUCUUAUUCAGUAUAAAAAAUUUUCUGUGUAAUUGAAAGGUAGAAGUUUGAUAUUUGCUUCUAUAUUUUGACAAUUCUCCCUUUUUUUCAAUUUUUGGAAUAAACUUAUAUCUUGGUCCCAAACAAUUUUGUGCAUAUUUUUUACUUUACUAGUCUUUUCUUGUAAGCAUGUACGUCGCAUUUAAGCCCAUUCUAUUUUCAAAUUUUAAUUUGAUUAUCUAAUCUUUCAAAUUAUUUAAUUUGAGUCGGCCAAUAAUAUUUUAACUUAAAAUGCUUAAAUGUUUUGUUUACUUUUACAACGAUAAUUGAUGCAAAUUUUAUAACUACAAAUGUAUUAAAAUAAGCAAUUAUCUUAACUUUUAAAUUAUUUUCAAAUCAACAAAAUAAUUCAUAGUUUAGAUAAGUUCUGUAUAUUUUUAUACUAAAUAAGUUCAAUGACAUAGAUUUUUUUAAUAAAAAAUAGGGUUAAUUACAUAUAGGCCCCUGCAAAUAUAGUAAAUUAUAAAUAUAUCCCUAUAAAGUUUAACUGUUAUAAGUUAUUUCUGCAAAAGCCCUAAUUCUUUCAGAUAUGUCCCUCUGAUUUGUUACCGUUAGAAAAUUAUUUAUAUUUCCAACUUUAUCAUCAUAAAUAUAUCCCUCUAAAAAUUAUAACAGUAUAAUAUAAGAGAGGUAAAAAUGUCAAAAAUUAAUCAGGGUAACGAAUUUAACCUAUGGUUAACUAAACUUUUCUAACGGAUUCUAACGGUAGGAAUAUAUCUAAAAAUAUUAGGACUUUUGCGAGAUAAAAAUAUAUUUACAAUUCACUAUAUUUGUGAGGAAUUGCAUGAAUUGACCCAAAAAAAUAAAUGUCAGGGACCAAUGUGAAAUUAACCCCCUUGUUUGUUUUUUUUUUUUUUUUUUUUUUUUUUUUUUUUUUUUUUUUGAUAGAGNGGUCCGUAUCAGCUCCGAACCCCAAUAAAUGACAUACCGAUAAGCUUCCAAAUGGACUUUGUCCACCCAUACACAACUGUUCUAUAUUUGGAAAAAUUAUUUUUCACUAUUCUAUAAUUUUAUUUUUAUUUAUUAUCAAGUAAAUAAAUAAGAUUGAAAAAAAAUAUUUUUCGCAAUUUACAGAAUAAAAAAUUAUCGAAUUGCACUUCUCAAUUAGAUACGUAUUUAUAGUGGAAUAAAAAUAAAGCCACAUAAUAAUUAAAGAUUAGGUUUGGAAUUGCGGAGCGAUUGUAAUACGCGCAAAAAUAUCAUUCAUUUUGUAGUUAAUUUCGUAUUUUGUAUAUCGUAAUCAAUCGGUUAAUAUAUCUUUUUUUAACUAAAGUUAUUACUUAGCUGUAAAAAAAAAAAACAUUCAUAUUUCAUAAACGGUCCCUAAACUCUUAAAAAAAAAAAAAAAAAACUUCAAAUACCACUCAUGUAAUUUCGCACUUUCUCAAUUUACUAUCCCAUGAUUUAAAAUAUAUCAAUUUGGUACCCUGUGCCCCUGUGGUUUUGUUUAUUUAUUUUUAUUAUAAAUUCUAGUAACUUUUUUUAUUAAAUCAGUGAAAGAUUAAAACUAAAGAAUACUAAAGUGAACAUUCGAUAAACCUAAAUAAGAUAUCUGAAGUUUUGUGUAUANGAGAUACUGCGGUGAUACAAACCAACCACGGCUUCUAGAGCUAAAUCAGAUAGUAUAAGCAUACGACGGGUCAAAUCGCUGGUUUUCUUCUAAAUCAAAUUCCAAGUCUAACAUGUAUAAUUUAUCUGAUUACUAUAGUAUGCUCCAAAUUCAGAUUUUAUUUAAUAUGCUAAUCAAUGAACUCGAGCUAAACAUGAUAUAUCAAAGCCGAAAUUAUAUAUGUCUACUAUGCAUAUGCUUAGGAGGCAAAACCGAUGAUAAACCCACCUUCGCGCAACUCCACAGCAGCAAGUACAAAAAUUUCGAAUCAUUGUUAAAUUUAGCCAUAAAAACUUUGUGGAUUUUAGCAAGUUUGUAGAUAGAGCUCACUAUAUUUAUUAUAUUGGAAUCAUAUAAAUUGGAUAAAAAUGUAGAAUAAUGUAAUCAGUCAAUUCAUUUUAGUGAAGUUCUGCAACCAUAUUCAACAAUUGUUCAAAAAUUUUGAACCUAUUUCGGGCCGUAGUAAAGUAUGGCUAAGUUUAUUUUUAGGUAAGUUUAUUUUUUUAAAAAAAUAAACGAAAUAGGUAACAUAUUAUCUAUCUCUACAAAAAAAUAAUAAUUAGUGCAAAUUUUAAUGCAUGGGAAUAAUUGAGACAUGAGGGCAUUUGCCAUUUCACCUAAAAUAUUUAAUGUAAUUAGUGAGGCAGAGAUAAUUAAAUUUCACUGAUUCGAAAGAUCGCUGUGGAUCCUGCUGAUUAGUGUGUGAAUUAUUUUCACUAACAAUUGUAAUCCACGUAGCAUGAAAAAGUAAUCAUUACACCUUUAUAACUGUUCUUCGAACACUCGUAAAAAAAGAAGGUAUAUAUUCAUCUAUAUAUAAAUAGAAAUUGUACUUCUCUUUUAACCGCAGAAUUCAUAAAAAUUUAAACAAAAUUCUAUUUUUAAAAAAUUUUAAAAAAAAAUUGAAUGGACAAAAUAUGCAUGUUACAUCAUAUCUAUUUAGUAAACUCUUUCGAUCUUUUUUUUUUUUUUUUUCUCUCUCUACAUGUGAAACAUGUGAUGUAAAUGUGAAAACGACAUAUACCGACCACCAUGUAUAGAUGGUCCAUCCCCAGCAUGCGCAAAGUAGGGGGAUUUAUUUCGUGGCCUUCUAUAGUGGGCAAGUGAAUAUAUAUAUAUAUAUAUAGUUGGACUGGGCUAUUAUUAUUAGCAAAAUUUUAUUGUUGCUAUCAAUUUUUUAGCCUUUGGAUUAACUCUUUUCAUUAUUUCUAACUAUUAGAUUAAAUACUAUAACCCAGUAGAGACCACUCAACCCUAGGGGGACCACUCAAUUCUAACCGACUAAUAUCAUUCUGACCCUACAAUUUUUCAUCUAAGGGUUAAAAAUUUGAUAGCAAAAAUAGCGUUUUACUAUUAAUAGUAUUCCAGCCUAAUUUUAUAUAUAUAUAUAUAUAUAUAUAUAUAUAGCAUUCUAUUUAUUUUAUUUAUUGAAUAUUGAUAAAAUAAAUUAGAUAAAAUGAGAUG
This 71229-nucleotide long non-coding RNA is filed under the name Ananas comosus (pineapple). Its description in RNAcentral is "long non-coding RNA (ACOM_LNC021593)". Lineage: Eukaryota; Viridiplantae; Streptophyta; Magnoliopsida; Poales; Bromeliaceae. The record is from RNAcentral.